This 71202-nucleotide long non-coding RNA is filed under the name Populus tremula. RNAcentral's name for it is "long non-coding RNA (PTRE_LNC001897)". The stretch from base 32575 to 32664 matches the Rfam family "MIR478 microRNA precursor family". The record is from RNAcentral. Lineage: Eukaryota; Viridiplantae; Streptophyta; Magnoliopsida; Malpighiales; Salicaceae.
UAGUCUGGUAUGCAAAUGGAGAUAAACCUGCACCAACAGGGUCCAAGGCAGUGCUGACUGCCAAUCGCGGGAUUUCACUUACUGACCCUCAAGGCAGAGAGUUGUGGAGAUCCGAGACAAUCAUUGGUGUUGUUGCCUACGGUGCCAUGACUGACACAGGCAACUUCGUGCUUCGAGAUCGUGUUUCUGAUAAGCUGUGGGAGAGUUUCAAGAAUCCUGCUGACACUUUACUGCCUUCACAGGUCUUGGACAGGGGGAUGACCCUUUCUUGUCGCCAAUCAGAAACCAACUUUUCUAAGGGAAGGUUCCAGCUUAAACUUAAAGAUGACGGGAAUCUUGAGCUAGCAACAAUAAACCUGCCUAGUGAUUAUACUAAUGAACCUUAUUAUGAAAGUGGUACCGAUGGGGGGUUGAAUUCAUCGAGUCCUGGCUAUCAAGUGGUCUUUAAUGAGUCAGGAUACCUGUAUAUAUUGAGGGAGAAUGACCAAAUAUUCUCUCUAACACAGAGAGUAACCGCCUCCAAUGGAGACUCCUAUCACAGAGCAACUCUCAACUUUGACGGAGUUUUCACCCAGUAUUAUCACCCAAAAGCAUCUACUGGCAAUGAAAGGUGGACACCAAUUUGGUCUCAACCAGAUAAUAUUUGCCAAGCAAGUUUUGUUAGUGCUGGCAGUGGAACCUGUGGGUUCAACAGCGUCUGCAGGCUGAAUUCAGAUCGAAGACCAAUCUGCGAAUGCCCUGGAGGAUACUCGUUACUCGAUCCAAGUGAUCAGUAUGGAAGUUGCAGACCAAACUACACACAAAGCUGUGAAGAAGAUGAGGUGGCUCCUGUGGAAGAUUUGUACGAUUUUGAAGAACUUACAAAUACAGAUUGGCCAACAUCUGACUACGCUCUCUUGCAGCCUUUCACUGAAGAAAAGUGCAGACGGUCUUGCUUGAAUGAUUGUAUGUGUACUGUCGCUAUUUUCAGAUCUGGUGACAUGUGUUGGAAGAAGAAGCUGCCACUCUCGAAUGGAAGAGUACAAACUAAUCUUAAUGGGAAAGCUCUUCUCAAAGUUAGGAGAAGUAAUGUUAAUCCACGAAGUCCUUAUUUCCCUAACAACAAAAAAGACAGGAAAGUAGCAUGCAUGCCUAAUUUAUUAAAAAUUUAAACUAUUAAAUUAGACUUCAAAAAUAAUUUUAUAUUACUUUUUAGCAUCAAAUAUAUAAAUGAUGUCUUUCGAUUCUGCAGAAUUUAUUUUUACAAGGAAUUUAUUUUUUCUUGCAGUUGUAAGGGGAGGUCACUUUCUUGACGUAUGAACUCAUGCUAGGCUGGUUUGGUGAUCCUCCAUUAAUUUGAACUUGAACUUGCCAGAAUAUAAGGUGCUCUCCGUUGAAUUAAAUACCACUGUAUGGUUCAAAGUGAAAGAUGAACAAAAAACCAGUCUUACGUCCUACUUGGACAAGUUUCCAAAAUCAUUCCAAUAUUUUUUCCAGUAGCUUGGACUCCGUACACUUAAAAGUAAAAUGAUUCAAUAUUUCUGCGUAUCAACACGCUAUACUUUUCAAAGACGCUAUUCAGAUUUUGAUAGAAAGUUCUAUAUAUAGCCAUAGAUUUAUACGAGGCUCUAGCUCCUUGUAACCCGGUAAGAUCAGAAAUGCCUAGUUUGAUGCGAUCAUGCCGGGUCAAUUUUCUUUUUAUUUUUGUUGAACCUGACCUGUUCUAAGUCAAAUCAAAUUUUAAAAUAGUGCUUUAGCCAUCUCAAGUGCAUUCGACCUUCUCUUACUAUUCUAAUCACUACUGUGCAUUUAAUGUUGACCUGCUUCUGUUGCAUGAAAAGUAAGCUUAACAAAUUCCCGACCAACUAGGAUUCAAAUACAAUGUGCACAAAGACUAACACUACCCUGUUAGCAUGGGUAUUUUGACUGACAUACCAUAGCUUCAUAAUCAUAAUCAAACAAACAUAUUCAUAUCUCAAAGCUUAACUCAUGACAUCAAUCAAAUGAGGAGCUAUCAAUUCAGAAGUCAAUUCAAAAUAUAUACCGGUUCAUAUCAAGAAUAUUCAGAUUCAAUAAUUAAUCAUGCUUUAUCAUAACAAAGAUAAUAAUUAACAUAUAUAUUAUAAAGAAGCAUGAUCCAGUUCAUAUUAACAAAUCAAAUAUUUAUAAUAUUUCUCAUGCAUAUGAAAAAUUAUUCACUCCCCUGACUUGAAAGCAAACAGAAGUCAAAGGAGACAUAUUUAAGAAUGACUUGAAAGAACAUUUAACCUAUUUAAUACACUUAACUAAGGGUGUAUUCCGUAACCUUAUAUGUUUUUAAACUAACUAGUUAAUUUUCUUAAAAACCAAAAAAUUAACGGUUUUCCAGAAAUCUAAUCCAUAAUAAAACAAAUAAUAAGACUUGAUAAUAAUUCACUAAAUAACCCUCAUUUAUUCAUCAAACCAAUCUGAAAAAGCUAAUAUUACAGCUAGGGACCAAUCUGGAAUUUAUCAUAUUUUUAGAGCCAAAUUGUAAUUUUCGUCUAAUUGGAGGACCAAACUAAACAUAUCAUAAAUUCAUGACUAUAGUGGAGUUAUGUCCAUAAUUCAUCCUCAUUUAUGUCCAGAACCUCUAAUUAUGCUCUAGAGAUCAUUCUGGAAUUUUUUCAAAUUUUUUUAAGGUCAAAUUGUAAUUUUUGUCAAGUGGAGGACCAAACUAAAAUUUAUCAUAAAUCAAUGAAUAUACUGAAAUUCUGACCAUAAUUAAUCCUCAAUUCUGUCCAGAAUAUCUCAUUAUGCUCCAAGGACCAUUUUGGAAUUUUACCAAAAUUUUAGGGUCAAAUGGUAAUUUUUGUCAAAUUGGAGGACCAAAUUGAAAGUGUUAAGAUUUCAUAAAUAUACAGUAAUUCUACCCAUAAUUCAUAUGUUAUUCUGUUCAGAAUCUCAAAAUAUGCUCCAGGGACCAAUUUGUAAUUUUCCAAAGUUUGGAGACUAAACUAUAAUUUUUGCAAAUUGAGGGACCAAAUUGAAUUUUUAUUAUCUUCAAUCUCAAACCCAAAAUUUUCACAGAUUACCCACUGUUAUCCCCUGAUUUCUAAUACAAAUUCAUUAUUCAAACAAAACCAUAACUCAAAAUUAUCAUUUUUAUUUACAGUUUCUCAAAUUCAACUUAACAAUCCAUUACCCACAAUAAUCAACCAUAUAACAUUCAAAUUAAUCCAUCAAUAAACCCUAAACAUAAUUCUCAAAACCCUAACAUUAAUCAAAACCGAAAUUUAAAGCUAAAGGAAACAUAUUAUACAUAUUAAAGCAUAAAUCUUACUCUUUUAACUUAUUUUCUUCAAUUCCUUUCUAUUUCCCUUAUCUUUUCUUCUUUUCUCUUCUUCUUUCUCUUUUCUUCUCUCUUCACUCUUGCCGACUCUCUCUCAAAACUUGCAGGUCACUUUUUUUUUUCCUAUUUAUAUUUAUCAACUAUUGUUUAAUUACCAUAAUACCCCUCAUUUAAUUAUACUUACUCUUUAAGCCUCCAAAGGCUUUAUUGCCUUUUCCUACUCUUAAAUUCAAAACAUUACAAAAAACACAAGCAACAGUUGUAGAAAAGAAGAAUCUUCAUGGCUAAUUGAUGAUUGUGAUGAACUUGAAGAAUCCUUUAUACCUUGUUUCUUUUUUAAAAAAAAAGCACAGAGGAAUCGAACUACGAAUUAAAUACUAGUUAUAACGGUAAAUUUUUUAUAUAACUUGUUAGGAUUUUAGAGAUUUUUAAUUAAAAAAAGAAGAAGAAGUUGUAGCAUAAUCUUAGAUCCAAGCAGUUAAAACUAUGUAAUUGGAGUGGUCAAGAGAAAAGGAAGCUUCUUAUUAAUUUCAUUAGUAAUAUUUAUUAUAGAGUAAUAUAAAUUAUAGCUUAAAUUAUCAUCAAUAUCUUAAAUUUUUUUAUUAAACUAGUUAUUUGAUAUAAUACUAAAAUUUUAUUAGUUAAAUUAUUAUUUUAAAUUUUUGCUAAUUUUCUUUAGCUUUUAAAUUGAAUUUAUUCUUUCAUAUCUGUUACUAUAAAAUAGGUUAUUUUUCUCGAGUCCUUUUGUUUCUCCGAGAUUUAUAAGAAUUUCGUGAAAAGGACCACAAUAUAUAACUUUUUAGGAAGCAGUUAUUUAACGAUAUUAAGUAUGAAAACACUUCAUUUUUGCAUUUCUUUCUCCAAGUUCUAGUUGGAUUUUCUCAGAAAGACCAGGGUUUUAGAGAUUUUCAAUGAAGAAAAUUUGUAGCACAUGCAAUCCUAAAUUUGUAGACUUAUUGCUAAUAAUUUCUCUUUUUUGAACACCCCUUUCUGCACGUUAAUAUUGGAAAACUUGACUAUUGAUCAGACUCACAAUUUUCUAAUGCUUUACUUUUACUUCAUUAAUUUAUUCAUUUGAUACGUACGCGGAUAGUUGGAGACUCAUAUUUUAUUCCAACAGCAAUACCCAGCAUAAAUAGAGAACAGUGCUUGUGCCCUAAAUCAUGCAAUGUCUUAAAAAACAGUAUCUUCACAUCAUGGAUUUUCAUAAAAAUUUAAAAUCUUAACUAAUAAUUAUUUUUUUAAAGAAUAAUAUAAAUAAAAAUUUAAAAUCUUAACUAAUAAUUAUUAUUUUUAAAUUGAAUAAUAAAUCACUUAUUUCUUUCUCCGUAAUUUAAUAGAAUUUUCUAAAAAAAAACCAGAAUAUAUAUAUAUAUAUAUAUAUAUAUAUAUAAUUUCUUGGAACCAGCCACCUUUUGAAAAGGUUUUCCUCUCCAAGAUAUAGUGGAAUUUUUCCAAAACAAAAUCUAGAAUAUAUAUAAAUUGUUAGGAUUUUAGAGAUUUUCAAUAAAGAAAACUUUUAUAAUUGAAGUGGUCAAAAGAAGGAAGCUUCUGAUUAAUUUCAAUGACAUUAUCUAUUGGUCUAAGGCGUACAGCUAAUAACAUGUCUUUUCUGCAUGGGUCUCUCACAAAGUUCUUUCUUCGCGUUAAUAUAUAUUGGAAUAUUUGACCAUUGAAAAUUACAACCACCUAAUGUUUGGCUCAUUAAUGCUGCGAUAAGCUUUUUCUGAGGAAGUAAACAGGAAGCUGCUAUGUUUUUUCCUCCACUCAAAUGAUAAUUUAUUUCAGUUUAUAUAUAUAUAUAUAUAUAUAUAUAUAGUUUACCGACCGGGAUUUAACGAUAUAACUCGAGCAAAUUUAUAAAAUAUUAUUUUGUUAUUUUAUAAUACAAAUUAAAAUAAUAUUAUUUUAAUUUUUUUUAAAAUUAAACAAGGUUUUUAUAUAAUCGAUCACGUCGCAAGCUCUUUUAUUAAGUUGAUUAAAUCUGAUAAAGUUAAUUCUAAUUAGUUUAUUUUAAAAACUAACCAAAGUUUGGUUUUGGGUUGACAUAUAAAUGCAUUGACCAUUUAAUAACUGGAAAAAUUCAAUAUUAGUUAAAAUUUAUUUACCAAAAAGAAAAAAUUAUAAAGAUAAAAUGAAAGUUGUUGAUAAGGUUUUUGUUUUUAUGUUUUAAAAGUGUUUUUAAAAAAAUUAAAUUUUUUUUUAUUUAAAAUUAAUAAUUGUUUUGGUGUUUUCAAAUUAUUUUAAUGUGCUGAUGUCAAAAUUAAUUUUAAAAAAUAAAAACAAAUCAUUUUAAUAUAUUUUUAAAUAAAAAAUAUUUUAAAAAUUAAUUACUACCAUAAUUUUAAAUUCACCGGAAUCAUUUGUUACGUGGAAGGUUUUUAACAUUAGUUUAUUCUCAUGCAUUAAAAAGAUUCGAAAUUAGUUGAAAUCUCUUUAUGAGAAGGGAAAAAUCACAAUCACAUCAAGAAAAGUCAUGAUUGCCAUCUUCAUUUGAUACGCGGAUAGUUGGAGAAUCGUAUUUCCUUCCGACGGCAAUACCAAUAACUCGAGCAUAAAUAGAGAAGAGGACCUGUGCCCUAAAUCAUUCGAAGGAGUUGUUGAAGUUCCUGCUGCUCCAAAUCCAUUUCUAUAUAGAAAAUAGCAUUGGUCAAACCUUGGCGACAAGGAUGGAUUGUUCUCCAUUGGUCAAACCUUGCGAAUCCGAGUAGGACCUUUGAAGGGGUAUCUAUGCCAGGUCUUGGCCAUACGCUAUUCUGAUGUUACUGUGAAGCUUGGUUCUCAGCAGAAAGUUCUUACAGUUAAAAGUGAGCAUCUUUCUGAGCUCCGUGCAAAGAGCUCCGCCAUGUCUGUAAGUGAUGAUCCACGAUCCAGUUCUUUCAAACCAUUUGAUUUACUUGGAAAUGAAGGUGGCUCUGGAGGUUGGACGGGAGGAGCUGGGACAUCAACUGAAGGUGAUGGCUGGAACGCUGGUGGCCUCUCCACUGAAAGAACUUCUUGGUCUAGUCCGGGCUUCACGCUUCAACCUGAAACCAACCCUGUAAAUCCAUCAAGUUCUGUAGAUAAUGAACCAAAUAAAGAUGAUACUUGGGGGAGUCAAGCUAAAGCAAAACAGACUUCAUCUUGGGGUGCAGCUGCAGCUGACUCUUGGAACAAAGCUGCUUCUAACAUUGGUUCUAGCAGUGGUGCAUCUGUUGGCUGGGGUAAAGCAACUUUAUCCAAUGAAGAUCUGCCAGGCUCUUCAAGAGGUUCUGGAGAUAACUGGGGUCAAGGAAUCCUAAGAGAUGAAAAAUCUUCUUUUGAUGCUGCAGCAUCUGCUUGGGACAAAGGAAAGACUGUUAUUGGAAACCAAAAUGGCAGUUGGGGUGAGGCAGCUACCGGGAAGAAUCAAGUGGGUUCGUGGGGAAAAUGUAAUGAUGCAGUUGAACCAGGAUCCUUGGAGAAGAAUAAAAGCUCUGGCACAGGAGAGGACUGCUUGAGUAACAAGACUACCGGGUGGAAUCGACAGAAAUCACAAGAUGGAGGAGACCCUUGGGGUAAAGCUGCAGAAGAACAAGAUAAGGGUGCUGCACAAAAUGAUUCUUGGGGUAAAGCUGCAGAGAAGCGGGAAAGCCAAAAUGGUGCUGAAAAGCCAACUGAGGGUUGGGGUAAGGCAGGCAGGAGCAGCAAUCAACCAGAAGCUGAUAAAGGAAGUGGCUGGAUGAAAGACAAAGCUGAUAGUGCAGGUCAAACUUCAAGUUGGGGCAAAGGGAAAAUUUUUAGUGAAGAUGCAACUGAGUGGAAUAAAGAUGGAUCUAAUAACCAGAAUCAGACUGAUAGCUGGAAUAAGCCAAAGGCCUUUGGUUCUGAUAGGGGAUCUUGGAAUAAACAGGGAGAAUCCUCUUGGGGUAAACAAGAAGGGGGAUCUCGGGGUAAUGGGAAUAGACCAGAUGGAGAUCAAGAGUUUGGUGGCUGGAACAAGACAUCUGAUGGGGGUCAUGGUUCAGGUGGGAGCAGGGGAAGAGGAGGUGGUCGUGGUGGUAGAGAUCAGUUUGGCCGAGGAAGAUCCUUUAGUGAUGGUCAGUCUUCAGGUUGGAAAGGUGGAGAAAACAAUUCAACUGGCAAUGAUCAAGGAGGUGGCUGGGGCAAAUCCAAGGGGUUUGAGGGAAGUAGAGAGGGUGGAUGGAAGUCUGUUUCUUCUGGGGGUGAUAGUGGAUCAGGUUGGAACAAAAGUGGGGGAGCAGAUAAAGAGACCGGUGGGAGCGUGGACAAAUGGAACAGUGGGAACAAAUCGAGUUGGAACAAUGAUCAAACUCAAGGUCACAAUGGGAGCAAAGGUUUUGGUUCUAAUCUGUCUUCAGAAGGGCAAAAUGAUGGUGCUAGUUGGAGAGCACCCAAAUCAAGUGGCAUGAACUUGUCUUCUGGAUGGAACAGUGCUUCUGCUGUGGAUGAAGUACCAGGUGGAAGUUGGGGUGGAGGCAGCAAGUGGAACUCAGGGAAAGCUUCAACUGGUGACAAUACAACUGGAUGGAAAACUGGAACGAGUGGGGCUGGCACCCAGCCAUCUGACUGGGGUGCUCCAAAAGCUUCUAAGGGAGAUCAGUCAUCAAGCUGGGAUAAUAAAACUGGUCAUGUAGAUGCCAACCAGUCAUCUGGUUGGGGUAGUAAAAGCUGUUGGAAUCAGAAAUCUCCUGAACUUGAAAAGGACAGCGAGAUAGAUGGAAACCGGAAUUCUAGCUGGGGUAAGAAAAGUAAUUUGAAAUCUGAAUCAAGUGAUGCAGGUGGUAAUGCUGGCUCUGACUGGGGCAAGAAGGGCAAUUGGAACUCCGAAUCCAAUAAUGCGGAUGGAAAUCAAGAUUCUGGUUGGGCCAACAAAAGCAACUGGAACUCUGGGUCCAAAGAUGCAAACCACGGUUCUAGUUGGGCCAAGAAAAGUAAUUGGAACUCUGGAUCUAGUGAUGUGAACCAAGAAUCUGGUUGGGACAAGAAAAGCAGUUGGAGCUCUAGAUAUGGUGAUGGUAACCAGGAUGCUUCUGUAGCCUGUGAUGAUGAAGGCCAAACUGAGACCUGUGGUAAUAGGGCAGGUGGUGGGAGUUGGAGAGGUGGUUUUGGUGGUAGGGAUGGUUCAGACAGAGGGGGUUUUAGAGGUAGAGGUGACAGAGAAGGCUUUGGAGGUAGAAAUGGCUCUGACAGGGGGGGUUAUGGAGGUAGAGGCAGAUCCGACAGAGGUGGAUUUGGAGGCAGAGGUGGUCCAGACAGAGGGGGCUUUAGGGGUAGAGGGGACAGAGGAGGCUUUGGUGGUAGAGCCAGAGGAAGGAGGGAUCAUAAUGGUGGUUGGAGUGACAACAAUUCUGCUGAAGAUAAGACCUUUGACUGGAAGAAUGGGGCAAACAAUAGCGGUGGAGGAUGGAAAAAUAAUGGUGGUGGAAGCAGUUGGAACCGAGGAGGUGGUGAUAGGGGCCAACAGAAUAGCUGGAAUUCUGGAAGUGGUGGAAGCAAUGAAGGUGGUGGUUGGAGUAGCCAAGGUUCAGGCUGGAACCAGUCAAGAACGGCCAAAGAUAGUGGUGGCAGUGACCUUGCUGGUGGUUGGAACAAGGGAACCUGUGCAAACAGCGAUGCUGCCUGGGGUCAAGGAAACAGCUGGAAGUCAUCAAAUCCUUCUGGUGAGGGCUGGAGUAAAUCAAGCAAAGAAAUUAAAGGUUCCGAAGAUCAAGGGGGUGGCUGGAACAAAGGACCUUCUGGUGCAAACAGCGACGCUGCCUGGGGUCAAGGAAACAGCUGGAAGUCAUCAAAUCCUUCCGAUGAGGGCUGGAGUCAAUCAAGCAAAGAAAUUAAAGGUUCAGAAGAUCAAGGGGGUGGCUGGAACAAAGGACCUGGUUCCAGUGCUCAAGGUGGUGGCUGGGGGAUAAAAGGAGCAGGCUCAGGAGAAGCAGGGAUGACUGGAGGUGAUGCUAUGACCUGGAAUCAAUCUGGUGCUUCUGGCGGAGGCCAAUCAUCUGGUUGGAAUGGAUCAACAGAGGGCAAAGAAGGAACUAAUACAGGCAGGGAACUAACUGAUCCGUGUGGUAAAGCAUCAUCAACAAGUUCUUGGAAUCAAUCAAGCAAAGACAUUGAAGGUUCUGAUGACCAAGGCAGUGGCUGGAACAAAGGACCCAGUUCUAAUGCUCAAGCUGGUGGCUGGGGGGACAAAGGAGCAGGUUCGGGAGAUGGAGGCGAUGCUGAGACCUGGAAUCAAUCUAGUGCUUUUGGUGGAGGGCAAUCAUCUGGCUGGGGUCAAUCUACAGAGGUGAAAGGAGCAAAUGAAAGUGGUAAGCCGACUGAUCCAUGGGGUAAUAAAGCAUCAACAAGCUCUUGGGGAAACGAAGGGAAUGAUGGAAGUAGCAAAGGGGGGUGGUAAUUACUUUGCAAAAGAAGCCAUGGUAUCUAGUUUUUGAAGUUUAAAGGAGCUGUAUAUAUUAGCUUGUUGUCUUAUUCACGGUUAGGAAGGAUCUAACAGUGGUAUUUCUUUUGAAACUCUGCCCCAGACUCAAAUUUCUGUUUCCUUGACAUUUUGAAUUCCGGUACUACCAAAAGGAGUUGCUCUUGGAGCAUUGAUCAAAAAAAAAAAAUACAGUACAAUUAGCAAUUACAGUCAGCUGGAAUGAUCUUUAUUUCACUUAGAUAUGAUUUUUCUACAGUUUCUUCCACCAUGAAAUGUAGCUUUAUAAAUUGAAACUGUAUUAAAUUUGAAUUAGUUUCCAAGGAAUCAAAAUUUUGUGAUGAAUCCAAAAACUUGGGGUUAACAUAUUCUUGUUCUUUUAGUUUCCUGGCUUCAGAUAUACCAAUGGAAGUUCAGCGUGCUGUUACUCUCUUAGCAGAGUAAGGGUAGGGAUUAGGUUUAAAGUCCAAUUUGCUCGGUACUACCUUGAGAAUCAAAAUAAGGACCUGUACUUCUUGCCAUGCGAAGUUGGACAAAGCUUUUUACAGCAAUAAGUGAAACAUCAAACACCAUUCCAUUACACAAUGGGCAUAAUUAAGAAAGUAACAACCAGCAACUUGGUCCCUUGAAUUUCAUGUUGAAUGGUUAGUAUACGGUUGUAAGUGAAGCAUGUUGUAGCUAUAGAUAUUCUCAUGAAUCUAUUUAAUGGGCGGUUCUAUCAGGAUAGGAACAGCUGAUAACUAUACAAUGCACUAUACUCUGUAGAACCCAUCAUCAUUACUUCUAUACCAGCAUUUGUCUUAAUAGAAAAGGGACCGAGAACUCCAUGACUCAGACGCCCACUCUGUAGGGACCACAAGGAUUGUAAUUAAGUAGAUUGGCAGGUAACUACUUCCAUUUAUGUAUGGUUGAAAGUCUUGCCUGUUAGAAUCUAUGAAAAUUUGCUUAGUCUUUGCAUUUAUUUUUUCGUAAUAGAGUCGGUUGCAAGUUUCGCUAUUAUUCUGUUAUUAGUAGUAAUCCAAUAACCUUUCAUGUUUGUUGAUAAUUUAUAGCAUUUUGAAUUUGGUUGUAAGCCUUUAAAUAAGUAUUCUUAAUUUAUAAUAUUUAUUAUCUUUCAGCUUCAACUUUUUCUCUUUUAGAAUUCUCUGCAUUUGUUAUUCAUUUAAACUGCAUAUUUCAAUAGUAUUCAUUUAACUGUAAAUUUAACAGUGGUAUCAGAGCAUAUAUCCUAUGGGUUGUGGGACCAGUUUUUUGAGUGCUAAACACGGUAAGAUUGAGUGCUAAACACAGAGAAGGUAAGUGUAAACACUAGUAAUUUAUUUUGUCUAUUGAUUUGAUGUCUGCCUCAAGCAACUCUGCAUCUGCAAUUCCAGUAUUCAAUGGUGAACAUCAUUAUAUUUGAGCUGUCAAGAUGAGAUUUUAUCUAAGAUCUCAAGGCUUGUGGAAUGUUGUAGUGUCUGAUUCUGAUCCACCACCAUUGACAGCAAACCCCACAAUUGCUCAAAUGAAGGCACAUGAAGAAGAAAAGCUUAAGAAGGAAAAGGCCAUCACCUGCCUACAUUUUGGACUUACAUAUCACAUCUCCACCAAAAUUAUUGCUACCCAAUUUUUGACCCAUGUUUUGAUAAAUUUUCAGAAAAAAAUUCCAAAAUAGCAAAAAACAUCGAAAAUACAAAAAAAAUAUAUUUUUUAAUAUUUUGCAUCAUUUUUAGAAUUUUUAGCAUCGUCUCAAAAGAAAUUAAAUUUUCAAAGGUUUUAGAACGCGUUCGACUUUUAACGCGUUAUUUUUAAAAUCAUCGAUUUUCCUCGUUUGAGUCGAUGUUGAUAAGAAAAAUCCAAAAAAAUAAGAAAAAUCAAAUUUACAAAAAAAGAAAGAAGUUGAUGGACCAAGUUUGAGACCUAGCAACAUUUUUGCCUAUAAAUAGUAGCCUUCAACACACACAAAAAAAGGGAGGGCAAUUUUAAAAAAGAAAAAAAAAAGAGUCAUAAAAACCUUAAAGACAAUACCUAACCAUUGCUACCAAAAAGAGCCGCCGUCGUCGGCAGCUCUUGGUUUUCUUCCACUCUUUUUGCCCGAAGCUAACCGGCGCCCCAUUUGGCAAAAGAAACCAAGACCAGCCGCCCCCUCCGACUAGUUUUGGAUUUUCUUCUUCCCCAGCCAUCUCACCCUCAACCCCACUCUCCGAAACCAAAGCAGCCACUCCGCUCCCCAUCCAUUCUCCUCUUAAGCCGCCAUUGGAAAGCCCCUCACUUCCACUUCGUCCACAGUUUCACUCCCACAGAACCCACAACCGAUCUUCCUCCAUUUCCUCUCAUUUGUAGCCGGACAGUCAGCAGCGAGGCCAACCACCACUGCCACCAACAGGAAGGAAGACCAUCAACGCCGGCCUCCACCAGGCCACACAGUAGUAGGUGAUCUCCUUCACUGCCAACUGGCCAGCUCGCCAAGACCGGAUCAGAGCCUCCAGUAACAGCCCAAAAUCCUGCUGGAAGUGGGACUUAAAGAAAGUUGAUUGCACAACCACAACUGCUCUUAAACCAGCAGUAGGAGGAACUAGAGAUCAAUCAGACAUUGAAGGAACUUCAGAUACAACAAUACUUAAGGUGAGACCUUUAUUUGAUGUAUAUGAAAGAUGUAAUCUGGUACAUGCUGAGCCUACAAGCUACAUUGAAACUGCAAGAUUUCCAGCUUGGAUUGAUGCUAUGAAGUCAGAAAUUGAUUCCAUUGAAAAAAAUGGAACCUGGAAAUUGACAGAACCUCCUCUUAACAAAAGGGAUAUUAGUGUGAAGUGCGUUUUCAGAACCAAAUUCAAUCCAGAUGGUUUAAUUUUCAGACACAAGGCUAAAUUGGUUGUUAAAGGCUUUGCUCAAGUUGCUGAAGUGGAUUAUGGUGAUACUUUUACACUAGUUGCUAGGCAUGAUACCAUUAGACUUCUACUUGCACUUGCGGGUCAAAAGGAAUGGAAAGUGUAUCAUUUAGAUGUCAAGUCUGCUUUUCUAAAUGGGAUACUCCUUGAAGAAAUCUAUGUUCAGCAACCAGAAGGCUUUGUAGUCACUAGUCAUGAACACAAAGUAUAUAAGCUAUACAAGGCUUUUUAUGGCUUGAAGCAAGCACCAAGGGCCUGGUACAACAGAAUUGAUACUCAUCUAAUUCCACUGGGAUUCAAGAGAAGUGAAAAUGAAGCUACUUUGUAUUUGAAACAAGAUCAAGAUGGUCUGCAUCUAGUAAUUUCACUCUAUAUGGAUGACAUGCUAGUGAUUGGUAGCAAUGUCAAAUUGCUAGCAAAAUUCAAAAGAGAAAUGCAAGAUGUUUUUGAAAUGUUUGAUCUUGGCAUUAUGAACUACUUUCUUGGAAUGGAAAUACAUCAAUAAAGCUCGGGUAUCUCUGUUUCACAAAGGAAAUACGUUAUUGAUAUAGUCAAGAGAUUUAAGCUUAAAUCAUGCAAAGAAGUAGCAACUCCAUUGGCACAAAAUGAGAAGAUUUCAAAGAAUGAUGGUGAGAAACUUGAAGAACCCUCUGCAUAUAGAAGUUUAGUAGGUAGCCUAUUAUACUUGAUAGCAACCAGACCUAACUUGAUGUUCCCAGCUGGUUUACUGUCAAGGUUCAUGAGCUCACCUAGCAAUGUUCACAUGGGAGUUGCCAAGAUGGUGCUAAAGUAUAUUAGAGGGACAACCGAUCUUGGAAUCUUGUACUCAAAGUCAGGAGGAGUAAAUUUAAAUGGAUAUGUAGACAGUGACUGGGCAGGGAGCGUUGAUGAUAUGAAAAGCACUUCUGGAUAUGUUUUUACAAUUGGUUCAGGUGCAAUCUAUUGAAAUGCUAAAAAGCAAGAAGUGGUGGCACAAUCAACAGCUGAAGCAAAGUAUAUUUCCCUAGCAGUUGCUGCAAAUCAAGCAAUAAGGUUGAACAAGUUGCUUGUUGAUCUAGGCCAAGAACAAAGUUCACCAACUGAGCUUUAUUGUGAUAACAAGUCUGCCAUUGCUAUUGCUCAAAAUCCUGUUCAACAUGGGAGGACCAAGCACAUCAAUGUGAAAUUUCACUCCAUAAAAGAAGCUGAGAAGAAUUUACUUGUAAAGCUUCAUUACUGUCCAACCGAUAUACAACUUGAUGAUAUAAUGACUAAAGCACUCCCUAAAUCAAGGCUGGAAUUUCUAAGGAUGAAACUUGGUUUGUCCAAGGCAAAUCUCAAGGAGGAGUAUUAGAAUCUAUGAAAAUUUGCCUCUGAAGAUAGCUGUUAGACUUAGUCUUUGGAUUUAUUUUUUCAUAACAGAGUCGGUUGCAAGUUUUGCUAUUAUUGUGCUAUUAAUAGUAAUCCAAUAAUUUCUCAUGUUUGUUGAGAAUUUAUAGCAUUUUGAAUUUAGUUGUAAGCCUUUAAAUAGGUAUUCUUAAUUUAUAAUAUUUGUUAUCUUUCCGCUUCAACUUUCUCUCUUCUAGAAUUCUCUGCCUUUGUUAUUCAUUUAAACUGCAGAUUUCAAUAGUAUUCAUUUAAGUGCAGAUUUAACAUUGCCAUGGUAUGCCAUAAGUAUUGUCCAAGUCUUUAAUGCUGAAUUCAGAUCGGGAAAAUACCAUUGUCCAGAAAAGGGCCGGGAAGACUUGUAUUUGGCUUCAGGCUCCGUCCUUCUCUCUCCCAUUAGUUAUUUAACGACGGCUUUGUUUGUUUUGGGGCUUUCUUCUCCAGGAAAUGCCUAGUGAUUGACCUGUAAAAACCUGUCCUCUCUUCCAUGCGAAGUUGGAUAAAGCUGGGGGGGGGGGGAAUGUAGGACUAGAUAUUCCCAUGAAUCUAUUGGAUGGGCGGUUCUAUCAGGAUAGGCACAGCUGAUAGCUGCGUAACGCACUAUAAAGUAUAAACUGUAAAACCCAUCAUCAUCACUUGUAUCAAUUAUUUGGCACUAAAAUGUUAAGUUUUCAUUGUCACAGGCACUAGAAAUUUUAGGCUUCUCAUUUUCUAUCAUAUCCAACGUAAAAUCAUUUUCCAAUUCAGAAAUGACGAUGCAUAAGUUGUAAUUAAUUUUCAUUUCUCUCCUUCGUUGUCACUCCAUAUGACUAAUGAUAUUUUCACAAAAUGAACCUCAACCUGGGUUAAAUUCCGGGAAAGAUUUUCCAAGACGGUACAUAGUUGGUAUAUCUGGUAACCAUUUGAUAAAAAUCUUCUAUAUCAGCAUUUGUCUUGAUUCAAAAUAGACAGAGAAAUCCGCGACUCAGACCCAACUCUUGAGAGACUAUAAGGAUUAUAACCAAGUAUAUUGACAGGUAACUUCUACCAUUUAUGUAGGGUUGAAAGUCUUGCUAUGGUAUACCAUGAGCAUACUCUAGUCUCUAAUUCAUGAAAAUUCAGAGAAAAUACCAUUGCCAAGAAAAGGCCCAAGAAGACUUGUGUUUGGCUUCAGGCUCCACCCUUCUCUUUCCCAUAGGCUAUUUAAUGACCGUGCCUUGAACUUCGUUUGCCUCAUAGUUUGGAGUCAUCAUAUUUUGCAAUGGCAUUUCCUAUUCUUCAUCUUUCGUUUUCCUUGCUCAUUAUGCUACCUCCUUUUGCUGUUUCUCAAACUGGUGGUAAUAUAACUGUGGGUGCUUCCCUUUCCACUUCUGAAAACACCUCAUGGCUUUCACCUUCUGGUGACUUUGCCUUUGGCUUUUAUCAACUUUAUGGCAACAAAGAUCUCUUCUUGCUUGCCAUAUGGUACGAUAAAAUACCAAACAAAACCAUAGUCUGGUAUGCAAAUGGAGAUGAACCUGCACCAACAGGGUCCAAGGCAGUGCUGACUGCCAAUCGCGGGAUUUCACUUACUGACCCUCAAGGCAGAGAGUUGUGGAGAUCCGAGACAAUCAUUGGUGAUGUUGCCUACGGUGCCAUGACUGACACAGGCAACUUCGUGCUUCAAGAUCGUGUUUCUGAUAAUCUAUGGGAGAGUUUCAAGAAUCCUGCUGACACUUUACUGCCUUCACAGGUCUUGGACAGGGGGAUGACCCUUUCUUCUCGCCAAUCAGAAACCAACUUUUCUAAGGGAAGGUUCCAGCUUAAACUUACAGAUGACGGGAAUCUUGAGCUAGCAACAAUAAACCUGCCUAGUGAUUAUACUAAUGAACCUUAUUAUAAAAGUGGUACCGAUGGUGGGUCGAAUUCAUCGAGUCCUGGCUAUCAAGUGGUCUUUAACGAGUCAGGAUACCUGUAUAUAUUGAGGGAGAAUGGCCAAAUAUUCUCUCUAACACAGAAAGUAACCGCCUCCACUGGAGACUCCUAUCACAGAGCAACUCUCAACUUUGACGGAGUUUUCACUCGGUAUUAUCACCCAAAAGCAUCUACUGGCAAUGAAGGGUGGAAACCAAUUUGGUCUCAACCAGAUAAUAUUUGCCAAGCAAGUUUUGUUAGUGCUGGCAGUGGAACCUGUGGGUUCAACAGCGUCUGCAGGCUGAAUUCAGAUCGAAGACCAAUCUGCGAAUGCCCUGGAGGAUACUCGUUACUCGAUCCAAGUGAUCAGUAUGGAAGUUGCAGACCAAACUACACACAAAGCUGUGAAGAAGAUGAGGUGGCUCCUGUGGAAGAUUUGUACGAUUUUGAAGAACUUACAAAUACAGAUUGGCCAACAUCUGACUACGCUCUCUUGCAGCCUUUCACUGAAGAAAAGUGCAGACGGUCUUGCUUGAAUGAUUGUAUGUGUGCUGUCGCUAUUUUCAGAUCUGGUGAUAUGUGUUGGAAGAAGAAGCUGCCACUCUCGAAUGGAAGAGUACAAAUUAAUCUUGAGGGGAAGGCUCUUCUCAAAGUUAGGAGAAGUAAUGUCAAUCCACGAAGUCCUUAUUUCCCUAACAACAAAAAAGACAGAGACGGUUUGAUCCUGGUGGGAGCUGUGUUUUUGGGCUGCUCUGUGUUUGUGAACUUUUUGUUGGUUUGUGCAAUUUGUAUGGGUUUUUUUUUCAUCUACCGCAGGAGAACAAAGAGAAUUCCUCAGAAAGACGGUGCUGUCGAAACAAAUUUGCGGUGUUUUACUUACCAAGAGCUUGCAGAAGCAACAGAGGGGUUCAAGGAAGAGUUGGGAAGAGGAGCAUUUGGAGUUGUUUACAGAGGGGUGGUGCAUAUAGGGUCUAGCAUUGUUGUGGCUGUGAAGAAGCUAAAUAAUGUGGCAGAAGAUAGCGUGAGGGAAUUCAAGACGGAGGUAAAUGUGAUCGGCCAGACCCAUCACAAGAAUCUUGUUCGGUUGCUGGGAUUCUGCGAAGAAGGAGAUCAGCGGUUGUUGGUGUAUGAGUUCAUGAGCAAUGGAAGUCUAUCGAGUUUUAUUUUUCAAGAUGCAAAACCUGGUUGGAAGAAAAGAAUCGAAAUUGCCUUUGGAGUUGCAAGAGGACUUUUGUACUUGCAUGAAGAGUGCAGCAAUCAGAUUAUCCAUUGUGAUAUCAAGCCCCAGAAUAUACUUCUGGAUGAAUAUUACAAUGCAAGGAUAUCUGACUUUGGUUUGGCAAAGCUCUUGUUGCUGGAUCAGAGCCACACCCAUACAGCCAUCAGAGGGACAAAAGGGUAUGUUGCACCUGAAUGGUUCAGGAACCUGCCCGUCACUGUGAAGGUGGAUGUGUAUAGCUAUGGUGUACUUCUGCUAGAGAUCAUUUGUUGCAGAAGAAAUGUGGAUAGCAAAGCAACCAUAGAAGAACAGGCAAUUUUAACAGACUGGGCAUAUGACUGUUAUCGUGAAGGGACAUUGGAUGCCCUCGUUGGAUCUGAUACCGGAGCCUUAGAUGACAUAGAAAAGCUAGAGAGGUUUAUGAUGAUUGCUUUCUGGUGUAUUCAGGAAGAUCCAUCUCUCCGACCCACCAUGAGGAAAGUUACACAGAUGCUUGAAGGAGUAGUUGAAGUGCCUGUUCCACCAUGUCCAUGCCUUCUUUACGCAGCAAGUUAAAUCAGCUUUGUAGCGUUGCCAGCCCUAUUAUCUUUCUCUUGUAACCUUUUCUUGAUUAUUGGCUUCUUCACCAGUGUCUUGUCCACCAUAAGUUCUUCACUUUAAGAUUAUUAGUGCUUGUCGUUUCUGUUUUGCCUGCUACUACAAAAGGCAGCUCUGUACAUAAGUAACGCUGUAUUCGAUGCAUUAGUUUCCAAGCUGUUCUAGUUUUGCUUUACACUGCUCCUUGCAAGAUCAUAUAAAUCUGGUGUCUCAUUCUCUUGCAUUCUACAAGAUCAUAUUCUUCAUACAUGCCAUAAGUACCUUCCUUAAUUAUUAACCAGACUUGCAAAAAAAGAACAAAGUCAACGUUAUGGUGUGCUUGAUCAGGCUGGUUAAUAAUUAAGGAAGGUACUUAUGGCAUGAAGAAGCAAUUACUGGGCUCUAAUUCUUGCUAUUAAGUUCAUUGUAGGAGGUUAAUUCACUUUAAAGAAACUUAAUAAUGAAUAUGUCCAACAAUUAGUUACUGCAGACCAUGUGAAGCAAGCACUGACUUCUUAAGGUUGCUGGAUGCUGUUGCUGGAUGCUGUUUUCAGCAUUGUUCAGCAUAGAAAGACAGGAAAGUAGCAUGCCUAAUUUAUUAAAAAUUUAAAAUAUUAAAUUAGACAUCAAAAAUAAUUUUAUAUUACUUUUUAGCAUAAAAUAAAUGAUGUCUUUAGAUUCUGCAGAAUUUAUUUUUACAAGGAAUUUAUUUGUUCUUGCAGUUGUAAGGGGAGGUCGCUUUCUUGACGUAUGAACUCAUGGUAGGCUGGUUUGGUUAUCCUCCAUUAAUUUGAACUUGAACUUGGCAGAAUAUAAGGUGCUCUCCGUUGAAUUAAAUACCUGGACUCCGUACACUUAAAAAGUAAAAUGAUUGAAUAUUUCUGCGUAUCAACACGCGCGCUAUACUUCUGUUGCAUGAAAAGUAAGCUUAACAAAUUCCAAGUCCCAUUGCAGGUCGAUUUUGCCUCCGUGUGUGGCAAUGUUUUAUUCAAUAAUCUAAUAAAAAAAUAACACAUCAACUACUUAUAAAGAGAUAAAAAUAAACCUAACAAAAAAAAAAGCUAAGUAGAAAAACUAAUUAACAUAUGAAAUUAACUAGAAAAAAAAUUGAAAUAACAUCUUCUAAUUAAGUUUAAAAUUUUGAAACAUACAAGCCUUUUUCUAAGGAUUGAUCAUGUCUAUCAAAUCUAUAAACAUAAUAUAGCAAUAUAUAUUCCAUGCGAUGAACAUUCAGAAGAUGACAUUUUUGUUUUGAAGUUUUGUAUUCGAUUUGAAGUAGAGAUACAUACUAAUAUAGUGGAAAAAUCCACUGACUCUCUUGUGAUGAUAUAUUUGCCUUUUUUCUCUCCAUUUUUUUUAAAGAAUAAAAAAUCAUAAACAUUAUCGUUUUCUUCGAGAAGAGUGGUGCACCUUGCCACUGCUCGGAAUUGGCCGUGCCAGGUCAUGUUAGUACUUUGGUGUACAAAAAGAAGAUUGAGUACUUGAUUUCCAUUGAUUUUUAAAAGCUUUUACUAAAUCAAUUCCUCAUUGGUUAGUGGUUAUAUGUUAAUAUUUAAUAAGUUUUGUAAUUAAUCAUGAAAGACCUAUCACUGAUUUGUUAGUGUUAAUAUACUUAUAGCUGAUAAUAUUUAUUUUAUUUAAGUAAAAUAUAUUUAUUAGUAAUAAAAGUUUUUUUAUAUUUAAUAUUUAUUGAUAUUUGAUUAAUGAAUCUAAUAUUUAAUUAAUAAAUUAAAAGUAAAGAUAAAAUUCAUAAACUAAAAAUAAUUUAUAAAAAAAUUAUUAAAUUAUUAUAAUUAUAAAACUUCUAUUACAUUAAAUUAUUAUUACUAAAUAUGUUUUUUAUAACUAAUGUUUCUAGUCAAAGAGAGUGAUUCAGGAUGGGUUGAAAGCGAACAGAUGUCAUGCAUCACAUGCAAGUCUUUGUUUGGUUGUGAAGACUUGAUAGAGGGCCCAUUUGCAAUUUUUAAGUCUUUGGAUCCAUUCAUUUAUUGCCCUGGUCCCAAGUCUCUGUUGAAUAAAUGACUUCCACCGUUUCAAACACCAAUAAUUAUGUGGUUCUUUUUCAAUAUUCUACCUUUUUUCAAUCGAAAUUUACCAUUUCAAUAAUUUUUUCAAUAACUACAAUAACAUGGACUUGGUCCACCAUAUGUACCGUUGCCUCCUUGUAAGGGCAAAGACUUAUGGAAUGCAGCUGUUGGGAUUUGAAAAGUCUGUGUCCACACCUUUAAUGAAAUGUCCUUGAGUUUUGAAGUGUCCGAGCAGCAAAAAUCACAUAGCUUGCAAUGACAUCCUGCUGCAAUGCAACACCAUUGAUAUAGGAACUGGUUUGUUGGUGACAGUAGUGAUAAUAUGAGUUUUGUGCUAUCAAUUUGACAAUCAAAUUCAGGAAUAGUGGCCAUUUGUGUUGACAGCAGCACUUUGUCCUCGAUAUCCUUGCUUUCAUAACUUUGUGCUCAUCAACAUUUUUGUUUUGUUCAUCUAUAUCAAGUGUAACACAGGGUUCUUUAGGCUUUGUAAUCGCCUGGUUAUAGAUUGAUUUUUCUUCUCUUUGCUCUCCUCAGUGUCGCCAAUCUGAAAUUCCUCACUUUCUUUUUGAAUCUUCCCAUGGUAAACAACACCAGAUUUUUCUUAUCAACAAAAGCUUGCUACUCUGUCUCUUUUUUGUUAAUCAAUGUGAUUUAUUUAUUUUUCUCAAAUCCAUUUCCAUAUCAGUUAAAAAGAAAGAAAGCAGGCAGCACACACUGUCCUGCAUCAUAAAGUUCAAGGUUUGGUCUCAUUACAAACGUACACAAGUAUUUGUGGGUGUUGUAUUUCCAUUGAAGGGUAUUGUUCCAUCCAAGGCAUUUGUGUGGAGAGCUGCGUUACAAAGGAGACCAAUGAGAGGGAUUUAGGACGCAUUCUUGGUGUGCUGUUGCAUGUCAUAGCGGAUCCCAAUCUUCCAAAACUAACAAUUAAUGAAUUUGAGAAGCUGGCUUAUAAAUCUUCCAAAACAGUAACAUUUGAGCACCAGUAUCAGGUAACGGAAGAGUCUCCUGCUGAUCAUUCUGAGAUACAACCCAAUGAUGUUAUAAUUGUUGGGGAUUCCGGCUACCCUAUGUGUGGACUAGUGGUGUUCUGAUAGUUGGUCAUUGGAGGCUAAGCACACCGAAACACAAUAUUUAACGUUGUUCAACAAAUUACCUACAUCCACGGGAGAAGUCAAUAUUAUUAGAGACAAAUAGAGAAAUGAUUACAACACACAUGGAGGAGGAGGAUCACUUCACUCAAACUCAACACCCAUUGCUCUCACACACUGCUGCACAAGGCAGUAGGGCUGCUGCCCUUGGCAGCUACUCCUUCUUUCUCUCCUCACGUAUUUCUCUCUUGUUCUUUUCUCUUUCUCUCUAUUUGCUCUCCAAAAUUAUGCCUCUUUUAUAGGCAUCAAUGGUAAGGCAAGAGGCCAUCAAUUAUGGGACAAAUGGUGGCAGCACAUGAGUUGCACCAUUUUUUCAAUGGUUGGUGCAACUACCAUUGUAGCCCUUUGACAAUGGCAUCCCUCCUUCUUAAGGUAGGAUGCAAAUGUUGUUGUCCAUUAAUGGAAAUAUCCCAACAAUCACCCCCUUUGACAUUUAUAUGGGCAAUUAUCCUCUUGCUUCUUCAGCACAAGCUUGCAUUAUGUAGUUCUUCCAAGCUUACCAUUCCGAGAGCGUUUGUGGCCAAGUUUACAGGUACUCGCUAAAUCUUUCAAUCAUCAGAGUUACCAAAGCACACCCUUGCUCACACCAAAGGAUCACUUCAACCAGAUGGUCUGCCACUUCACAUCUAAAGAGUGUUAUCGCUUGUCUCUAGGAUAACAUUCCCUUUCGAGUGUAUCAACUAUGCUCGGUCCGGAAUGAUUUAUCAAGCCUCACAUCAAUGUUUACAACACCCCCUCAAGUGGAAAUUUUUAUUUUCAAGUGUGACAGUCAUUAUCUGAGUAUCUCAAUAUGAUCACAAGCUCACCACUCUUCCAAGAGUCUACUCAUCCAGGAGUUGUGUUUGCCCUUUGUUCCACCCUAGGAACCAUGCCUUACUUCUCCAUGAGUUUCUCGCUCUUAGUCCUAAGAGUCCAGGUAGCUUUCUACCUUUAACCAUGGGGGCAGCCCAUUUAAAGGUUAAUCCAUAUAUGUCUUGAUACUCUAAAUAUUAAAAUGCCUUUACCGAGCUCACCACCUCGACAAGAAUCAACUUGUUCCAGGAACUGGGGCUCCUAUCAUGGCUCUCACACCUUUUUUAAGGUGUCUUCGCUCGUUAUCAUGGGGCGGUCUGAACUUGGGCUCCUUUCAUGGCCCUUACACACCUUCUAUCUAAGGUGUCUUUACCUUUCAUAGGCGGUCACAUCCUCCUUCAGUUGAGAUGCUUCAAAGUGGCUCCAAAAGUGUCUACCACUAUGUGGACUAUGGGAGAGAUUACUACCACUGAUUAUAUAGAAAGAGAAAGUUGUGGUACACUCCUCACAAUCCUCCAUCUCGAUUUCUAUGUUUGGAGCUUCUGUGCCUUUCUGUUUAACAGCUCUACCUACACCAACUCUCUUUGGUGUCUUCAUCUUUCAUCAUAGGUGGUCGCCUUUUAUCACAGGCGUUUGCACCCCUUCAUUUAGGUGCUUCUACAACAGCUCAUCUUUUUCAUCCUUGCAUCCAUAGGAAAGGUCUUCGCCAGUUGUCUUCAUCAAGAGCACAAGAGACUUCCUGAUGUACAACUUCUACACAGUCUCUGCUCUGAGCUUCAUCUAGGAACUCUUCUUGUCCUUGCACAUGUUGUCUCAUUACAGUACCUCAUUGGAUCCUACGGGUACUCCUGCACAAUCUCCAUGGGCCUUCGUGCAAUUUCUGUUCUCCAGAUUUCUCUCUAUUCCUUGUUUAUGUUUGACAAUAACUCAUUCCGUCACAACACCUGUCCAAGUCAAAAUAGGGUGCCAAUCUUUAUCCCCUUGCUGUAUUUCUCUUCUAUUAUCAAGGUCUUCAUCAAUUCUCCCAUCGAGAAAUCACAGUCAGCGAAUCUAACUUCUUUGGAGAAAUCACCACUCCAUCAGAUCCUUGAACAUACAGAACCCAAACUGUUCCUUUGUGAUGUCGUCUUGCUAGUCUUUAACCAUUUCAUUACAAAUUGCUAUUUAUAUGAAAAUAGUAUCGUAUGGAUAAUCCUUCCACUAAGCAAGUUCCUAGGAAAGAUUGGAGGGGUCACACUAGUCCCGCUUAAAACCCAAUCUCAUAGCCAGAACUUCUUAAGCCAUAUCUAUCCAUCGUACUGUCUUUCCAUAAAUACAACCAUUUGCUAGCUUUGUUAUGGCUUUCCUUUACAAGUGAUCUAGAAUAUACUGGUUUAAUACAUGAUUUCUCAACAUCUGGCGAGACUACUAUUGUAACCUAUUUUUGGGUCCCCGCACAAAAAAGGAAAAAAUAUAUAAAUAUAUAGUCGGAAGAAAUUGGAAAAAUAAUAAUAGCAGUAGAAGGUUGGAGCGUGCAGAAAAUGGUCAAAACAAUUGAUUAAGAAGGUUAAAAAAUACAAAGAUUGAAAUUUUGACAGUAUAUACUUGAAUGAUGAGAGCCCUAUUGGAAAAAAAAAAUCAAUUUGAGGAAAAAAGUCCAAAAUUGGAUGUUUAUGGGCUCAAUUGGAUUUUAUUGAAGGUUUAAUUGAAUUUAUAGCGGGUUUGAUUGCAAGAAAAAUAGCUUUUAAAAUCAAUUUAGGCUUUAAUUGGAAGAAAUUAAAGUUUCAGGGUCAAAUAACAAUUUGUGAGAGUUGAUAUGGUCAAAUCAGUUGCUUAAUUACAUAAAUAUUGAAGUUUGAUGGCCAAUUAUGGAUUUAAUUGAAUAAAUCCAAAACCAAGGACCAAACUGGAAAAGGCGCGAAAAUAUAGGGUUCGAAUUGAAGUUUGUCAAGGGUGAAAUUAAACAAAAUUGAAAGUUUAAUGCCAAUCAGGGGUGUAAUUAGAGAUAAAUCACAAAUUAAGGGACUAAAUUGUAAUUGGCAGAAACAUUGCUAUUCAUCUUCUUCUUUAGAGAGGUUGCCCGAUGGGUCUCCUUCCCAAGGCGUUUGACGCCUCGUUACUUCCCCAAAUUAAAUGAAACCUGCACGAACACGAUACCUUGACACCUGACUACACCCUAGUAUAAAUAGUUUGGGCUGAUCGAGGCUGUAGAGGCGAUGGCACCGCCUCAAAGUGGCCAACCCGACCAACCAUUUUCCUUCACAAAACUGGCAGUUCAUCAUUGCUUCUUUGAAGUAGUGGUUGGAGUGUUUUUGGGUCGAACCAAGGGUCGAAAUUUGGCACUAAAAGAGACGAAGUGUUCCUCUUCCACCACCUAUAAAUAUAUGUGAUUUUCAUGCUUCAACGAGGGAGAAAUUUGGGUCCACAGAUAGCCAAAAAACCAGCCUCCCUGACCCGGUUUCUGUUGACAGCAUAACCUCCCUCUCUCUCUCUCUCUACCACGGCGUUCAGCCCCUAACAUCGUCACCACCAGCUUGAACACCUCCAUCUCCAUCACAAGCAACUGCCUGAAGACCCCAUAUAGUGAGCGCGCCGCCGAGCCCCUUUCCUCUACAACUUUUCUUCUGCCUUCACCAGCAACCGAUACCAGCCACCAUUACCUCCACUGAAGCCUACUGAGCCAUCGGCAGAACCUCCUCGUCGCAGCCAAGCUUCCAUCGUAGGUCAACUUCCUUCCCUUUUCCUUUCUUCUUCUUCUUCUUCUUCUUCCUCGGUGGUCUACACUGUUCACGCUGCACGUGAACAAUGGAGAGUAAUCCAUUGUUCAUUUAAAAAAAAAAUUAUUCCAAAAAAUCUUUUCUAAAUUUUUUUUGAUUUUCUCAUGUAUUUUUCUAUCUAUUUUGUGUAAUAUUGGUUUGUAUUUUUAUACUGUAAAUAUACAAAUUCGGUAUUAAAAUACCUGGUUUUCGUCAAAACAUUGCAAAAAAAUUAUAAAACAAAAAACAAAUAUAUAUUUUUUCAUGCAUACAGCUAAAUCUCUCAAAGAUUAAAAAAAAAUCAUCACAUCGUAUUUUCCUAUAUAAAAAAAAAAUCAUGCUAUUUACUCAUAAAACAAAAACAUUCAAAAAAGGUUUUAGCAUGCACUUUGGUUUUAAUAACAAGUUUGUUAGAGCCAUGAGAACUUGACAAAUAUUUCAAAAGUUCUAAAUAUUUUUGUCUUCUUUAGUAUCUAGGAUUACAAAUUUAUACAUAAAACGUAUUCUUAAUAUUAAAAAUAUAGUUUUUUUAUAGACGUUAGAGCGGUUAGGAUUUUACCCGAUAAGAUAAGGACCUCCUUAUUGAGGACGACUUUUUUUGAACCCUAAACAGAUUAAUAAUUAAAUAACACCUUAGCUUUUUAUCAGACAAUCAAACAAUGCAGCUUACCUUAGGUAAGGCGUAUUUGGGGUGCUAAUACCUUCCAUUUACACAACCAGUCUCCGCACCCGAUCUCUAAGACUAGUUAGGGUUUCUAGUGACCAAAAUACUAGGUGGCGACUCCCAUUCUAUUUUUCACUGAUAAAAGACAAGAAUUUCUUGUCUCCCCAUAUUUGACAGACAGGUAGAUACAUUUUAAAUUGAAGUGGAACAUUUUUGCUGCGACGCCGCACACGUACGAUAACUACCAGUGCUUAGAUUCGUCAAGAUUGGUCUUUGUCAAUUUUCACUCUACACCUCUAAUUAUCCACAUGAUCAGGUGUCUAGAGUGUCUCAAUUUUGCAUUUCUUCAAGGCAAUUAAAAUUUCUCCCCACUUAGCUGUUUAGCACAUGUAAUUGGGCAAACAUGUGCACUUUCUCCUUCUUCAUCUCCAUCGACCACCAUGAUGACCUUCAGAUGCCUCCUAAUCGGGCAAUCUCCUUUUUUAAUUCACCACCACCACUUUCGAUCUCAAUCUCAAUGAUCGGAUCGUACCAUUGCAUCCAGAACGAUCAAAUUGCAUUUCAGAAUGCCAAGAUUUGAUCAAAACAAUUAUGGCCUGAUGAGCGACCCAGAUUUAAUCUCAGAUUCGAUUGCACUUAGGAUCAGCUAUAUAGGAUCCUAUCCCUCAGCUCACGGCUAAUGACGUGGCAGAUGGUCCCACUGUGCUGACAUGUCAGAUGAUUGGGCGAUGACAUGGCAUGCUUACUGUACAUGCUGAUGUCACAAUUGUGUCAUGCUGUUGUCAUCCUUAUCCGGGGCAGUCACGUGGGUCGGGUCAUCUGGUAUUCAGGUCAGGUUAGCCCAUCCGAGCGAAGAGCGCCACGCCUCUCUUGCAGUGUUUUUAUCAUUCAAUGUUUGUCCCAGAAAAUUAAGGGGAAACAAGAGUGAGUUAAUCUUCUUUUAAUUCUUGGCGUUAGUUAUUUGGAAUGAUUUGGGACAAGGUUGGGAAAUAUAUGAAGUUAGAGGUGAUGAGGGCAGGUGUUUGUGGGCCUUUGAAGCUCGCUAUAUUCGCCAAUGACCUUCUUCCAGACAGUUAUCACAGGUAAAAUCCCUUUCUACAUACUCUGGGUGGUUUGUGUAUUGAUGCAUGGUGGUGGCAUGGAAAACUUAAGCAAUGAGCUCUCUAUGUACGAAGUUUGCUGCUUUAUGUUCGUUUCUUGCCAUGAUUGGGUCUUCUUACAUGCCAACCUGUUUUGUGAUUUAUUUUAAUCUGUAGCUUUUGGUGCUUUCAGUUGGCCAGUUUAAUCGAGGAGAGGGUUUCAGGAUGACAAAUAUUUGUUCUGGUUGGUCACUUCCUUGAGAUCAUGGAAGCAAGCUUUCCUGCUUUGCUUAUCAAAUGCCGCCAUGCAUAUAUAGUUUUGCAUCUUUUCUUUGCUCUUUUCCUAGCUAGUAUUGCAUCCUGUGUGAUUUAGCUUUACAAAUUGGGAAGCAGCUUUAUAUCUAUUCGAUUCUCUUCAUCUGCGUGAAUAGUCUAACAACUAACAAGAUACUUGAAGUAAGAAUCUUUGGCUUUGACUCGAUCUUCGUAUAUUCUUGGGAUGGAGUUUGCUUACAGUUCAUGUAACAAGUGGCCAAAUUAGCCCCCCUUUCGAAAUUGUAAUAAUUACAUCAACCCAGAUCAACCUGUUGACCAUAUGAUUCGAGUCAUGAGUUAGGGAUAAAGUCAUAAAAAAAUGAAGUUCAAUUUUAAACCAACUGAAUGUUAAAAGAUAAAUUUGAAAAAAAAAUCAAAUAGCAAAAAAAAACAAAAUAACCAUAGUCAACUUGGUUUAACUUACGACUCGGGUUAUGAGACUAUGAUAAAUUUAAAAAAAGCAAACCAAACAAAAUUAUAAAGCUCCAUUUCCAACAUAUCUAAUAUUGAAAGUUGAAAUUGAGAAAACAAAAAUCAAUAAAACUGGUAUAUAACCAAACAUAUAGAAAAAAAAAAAAAUAUGAAGUACAAUUCUCAAAACAAUCAAAGAUUAAAUGAUAAAAUUAAAAAUAUAUAAACGACUGAAUUGUUAAAAUGAUGAAAUUGAAAAAAAAAUAAACAAAAGGAAGGAAAAAAAUAUUAUUAUAUUAAAUAGUGUUUUGUGGGUGUGACCAUACUCUUUAGUGUUUUGGUAAUUUAUAAUAAUUAAUAAUUUUAUAAUUAAUGAAGUUUUAUACCAAAAUUAAUAUUUCUUUUGUUAAUAGAGAGAGAGAGAGAAAGAGAGUAUUUUGGUUAGAAGAACAAAAACAGAGAUAUAAAAAUAAAUUUGUUCUUAAGUUAUUCACUGUAUGAUGAUUAGUGCUUGUCAUUUCUGUUUUGUCUGCUACUACAAAAGGCUGACAAAAAACAAAAGUCUUGGUAAAGAGAUGCGUUGUUUGUUUUGGGGCUUUCUUCUCCAGGAAAUGUUUAGUGAUUGACCUGUAAAAACCUGUGCUCUCUUCCAUGCGAAGUUGGAUAAAGCUUUUUACAUUAGCUAUAGAUAUUUGAUGCAGAGGGGGAAAUGUAGGACUAGAUAUUCUCAUGAAUCUAUUGGAUGGGCGGUUCUAUCAGGAUAGGCACAGCUGAUAGCUACAUAAUGCACUAUAAACUGUAAAACCCAUCAUCAUCACUUGUAUCAAAUUUGGCACUAAAAUGUUAAGUUUUCACUGUCACAGGCAUUAGAAAUUUUAGUCUUCUCAUUUUCUAUCAUAUCCAACGUAAAAUAAUUUUCCAAUUCAGAAAUGAUGAUGCACAAGUUGUAACCAAUUUUCAUUUCUCUCCGUUGUCACUUCAUCAGAGUCUUGUUUUUACUGUUGUUUGCAUGAUGAUAUUUUCACAAAAUGAACCUCAACCUGGAUUAAAUUCCGGGAAAGAUUUUCCAAGACGGUACAUAGUUGGAAUAUCUGGUAACCACUUUGAUAAAAAUCUUCUAUAUCAGCAUUUGUCUUGAUUCAAAAUGGACAGAGAAAUCCGCGACUCAGACCCAACUCUUGAGAGACUAUAAGGAUUAUAACCAAGUAGAUUGACAGGUAACUUCUACCAUUUAUGUAGGGUUGAAAGUCUUGCUACGGUAUACCAUGAGCAUACUCUAGUCUGUAAUUCAUGAAAAUUCAGAGAAAAUACCAUUGCCAAGAAAAGGCCCAAAAAGACUUGUGUUUGGCUUCAGGCUCCACCCUUCUCUUUCCCAUAGGUUAUUUAAUGACCACCAGUAAGAUUACUUUCCAUAGUCAACAAAGUAAGACUAUUGGGAGAAGAUCUUCCUGAUAAAAGAGUUGUUGAAAAAAUUCUGGUAACUUUACCUGAAAGGUUUAAAUCAAAAAAAAUUUCCUUAGAAGAAUCUAAAGAUCUAUCAAAAAUAUCUUUGGUAGAAUUGCUCGAUGCUUUGCAGGCACAAGAACAAAGAAGAAUAAUACGACAAGAGGAGUUUAUGGAAGGAGCUUUUCAAGCCAAAAUGCAUGUUCAGAAAGGAGACAAAGGCAAAAAGAAGAUCAACAAAUGUAGUAAAAGAUCUGGAAACUUUCCUCCAUGUCAACACUGUAAGAAAACAAAUCACUUACAGAAAUAUUGUUGGUAGAGACCUAAUAUUAAAUGCAGAAAGUGUAAUCAACUGGGACAUAUGGAUAAGAUUUGCAAAAGCAAAACUAACGUGCAAGAAGAUGAAGCUCAAGUUGCAAAUCAACAACAUGAGGAGCAGUUGUUUGUGGGUACUUGUUUUGCUAGCAAACAUGCAAGUGAUUGUUGGCUGAUAGAUAGUGGUUGCACAAACCACAUGACAAAUGAUGAAAAUCUAUUCAAGCAACUUGACAAAUCAAGUGUUUCUAAAGUUAGAAUUGGAAAUGGUGAAUAUAUUCCUAUCAAAGGAAAAGGAACAGUUGCUAUUGAAGGAAAUUUAGGUAUAAAACUCAUUUCAGAUGUUCCUUUUGUUCCUUAAAUUGAUUAGAAUCUAUUGAGUGUUGGUCAGCUUCUUGAAAAAGGAUACUCAGUUGAGUUCAAAGACAAACAUUGUUCAAUUUAUGAUCCUGCUGGAUUAGAAAUAUUCACUAUAAAGAUGAAAGGAAAGGGUUUUUACUUGACUGGAUGGAAGAGGAGUCAGCUGCUUUUCUAAGCACAUCAAAUCAGUCAGAAUUGUGGCACAAAAGGCUGGGGCAUUUUAAUCCAGCAACAUUGAUGCAAAUGUAGAGAAAGAAGAUGGUGCAGGGAAUGCCAAAACUGGAUGAAGAAAUCAUAGUCUGUUCUUCUUGUCAAUAUGGCAAACAUAAUAGACUUCCAUUUCCUUUGAACAAGGCUUGGACAACAAUGAAAAAGCUUCAGCUUAUUCAUACUGAUGUUGUUGGACCUCUGAAAACAAUAUCACUUGGAAGCAAGUAUUAUAUUGCUUUCAUUGACGAUUAUACAAGAAUGUGCUGUGUCUAUUUCCUAAAGUUUAAGACUGAGGUAGCAAGUGUUUUUAUGAAGUUUAAAAACUGGAUUGAAAAUCAAAGUGGUCACAGAGUUCAGGCUGUAAGAUCUGAUAAUGGCACUGAAUACACAUCAAACAAGUUUGCCAAGUUUUGUCAUGAUGCAGGGAUUGAACAUCAAUAUACUACACCUUACACUCCUCAGCAAAAUGGUGUAAGUGAACGAAAAAACAGCACAAUCAUGGAGAUGGCAAGGUGUCUGUUAUUUGAGAAAGAUUUACCCAAAAGGUUUUGGACAGAGGCUGUGAGCACUACUGUGUUCUUGUUGAAUAGGCUGCCAACAAGAGCAUUACAAAACAAGACUCCAUAUGAAGCUUGGCACGGUUAUAAACCUUCACUCCAAAAUUUAAAGAUUUUUGGUUGCUUAUUGUCGAUACACGACGUCGGGCGACGGCUCCGCUCUUUUUGUUUAUUUAACAAAAAAAGAUUGUUUUAUUAUUGGGGGAAAUAGAUUUUAUUGGAGUCGCCAUCUAGUAAUUUGAGGGAACUAGAAAUCCCAAAUUAGACACUGGUUCCAAAGAUUCGAGUACUGGGUUAGUUAUGAUUAAGGGAAGGUAGACACCACCCUUAAAACAUCCUUUCAAAAGAAAGGUUACCCUUACUUGUGUGUUUUUUUAUUUUUUUUAAAUGAUAUUAUAUUUUGAGCUUAUUUGUAAUUUUAUUGUUUUUUUUUAUGGUUAACGUCGGUCCCUAAAAAUAGGAGACACAUUAAAAAUGACAUCAGUCCCUAAAAAUAGGAAACUUGUCUAAAAUAUUGACGUUUAACCCUAAAAAGGAGAUUUACGUCUGAGUUACCAAAAAACUAUGGACAUAAUCCAUAUUUGGUAUUUAAACUUUUGACAUCGGUCCUUUUCUAAAAAAGAGACGUGUCGACGAACAGUAUUUGUUUAUAAAAUAAAAAUUAUUUUUAUAUCGUUUGAGAAAUGGGUAUAACCGUAUUUGAAAAUUGGGCUUUGGACCCACGAAUGAUGACAUAAUAGGAUGGGUGUUGGACCCGCGUUGUUAUUCUUUUUUUUUUUUUGUGUUUAUUUUUUAUUUUACAACAUGCAAGAAAAUUUAUAUACAAAUAAAAAAAAUAUUAGCAAUCUAAAUAAAAUUACAUGAGUGACACAGUAUAGGUAAAAGACUGAAAUACCCUCGGAUUUAUCAGAAAUUUACGAAAAUGCCACUGGCGGCGCGUGUGGCUCACGCGUGGCUACUGUUGGUGGCGGCGAGAUUUUCAAGCGAGAUUUCUGGCCAACCGAUGGUCGGUUCUGGUAGAUCUGAGGUCGAGGAUUCUGUUGGUGGUGGUCUCGACGGACGUUGAUGGCUGAGGAGAGAGAAUCGAUGACUUGAAGCUUCGGUGGCCGGCGACGAUCGCGGCUUUUUUCCGGCCAGAUGAGGCGGUGAAAACGAUGAAAACCACCGGGGUUUUGCUUUUCAGGAGAUUGGAGACCUUUCUGUGGUGGUUCGGAGGCUGGAGACGGCCGGAUAUGGGAGAUCGGAGGAGAGAGAGAGAGUCGCCGGCGAGAGGAGAGAGAUGCUCCGAGAUGUGCUACGGUGCGGACGCGUGUAUGGUGUACCGGUGCCGCUGAAGGAUGGUAACCGUUGGAUCUUGGAUGAAACGAUCGGAUGGCUGUGAUUGACUAGAUCAGCAGGUUGAUCGGACGGCCCAGAUUGUCUGGUUUUUUGGCGCUAGAAGGAGGGCAUGUUAUUUAUUUGUGUAUUCACACACUUCACAGUGAACCCAUAAAAGCUCUGGACCCGAGCUCGUCCUUUUUAAGAUUAGAAAAGAAAGAUUCAGGUGGCAAGUGUGACUUAUGUCCACUGAUGCUCAUUUGGACUUUCGCUUGGAUUGUAACUCACCCUAUGCGACGGGUAUUGUGGAAUUUUCUUCCCAUACUCAUGUUGCUACCCAAUUUUUGACCCAUGUUUUUUUUAUAUAUUUUCAAAAAAAAUCCAAAAAAACAUUAAGAAAAAAUUUGAAAAUUUAAAAAUAUUUUUUUUUCUCUCUCGAGUCAACCGCAUCUCUUCAUUCAAACCAUGUCGACCAGGGUAAAAAAUGAGUUUCGGGCUGUUUCGGGUCAAAAAUAUCAUUUUCGACCAAAAUCGGGUUCACCGGGUCAAUACGGGUCAUACCAUGUUGACCAGGGUAAAAAAUAAGUUUCGGGCUGUUUCGGGUCAAAAACAUCAUUUUCGACCAAAGCCGAGUUCACCGGGUCAAUACGGGUCAAACCAUGUCGACCAGAGUAAAAAAUGAUUUAAUCCCGUUGCGCCACGUCAUCCGGUGCACCGAGCUUUCGGUGCACCGCGCCACACAGAAUAAAAAACCAGACAAUCUGGGCCGUCCGAUCAACCUGCUGAUCUAGUCAAUCACAGCCAUCCGAUCGUUUCAUCCAAGAUCCAACGGUUACCAUCCUUCAGCGGCACCGGUACACCAUACACGCGUCCGCACCGUAGCAAUCUCGGAGCAUCUCUCUCCUCUCGCCGGCGACUCUCUCUCUCUCCUCCGAUCUCCACUUUCCGGCCAUAUCAGCCUCCGAACCACCACAGAAAGGUUCCAAUCUGUAAAGCAAAACCCCGGUGGUUUUCAUCGUUUUCACCGCCUCAUCUGGCCGGAAAAAGGCCGCGAUCUCGCCGGCCACCGAAGCUUCAAGUCGUCGAUUCUCCCUCGUCAGCCAUCAACGCCGUCGAGACCACCACCAACAGAAUCCUCGACCUCAGAUCUACCAGAACCGACCAUCGGUUGGCCAGAAAUCUCGCCGAAAAUUCGCCGCCACCAACAGUAGCCACGCGUGAGCCACACGCGCCGCCAGUGGCAUUUUCGUAAAUUUCUGAAAAUCCGAGGGUAUUUCAGUCUUUUACCUAUACUGUGUCACUCAUGUAAUUUUAUUUAGAUUGCUAAUUUUUUUUAUUUUGUAUAUAAAUUUUCUUGCAUGUUGUAAAAAAAAAAAAAAAAAAAAAAAAAGAAUAACAACGCGGGUCCAACACCCAUCCUAUUAUGUCAUCAUUCGUGGGUCCAAAGCCCAAUUUUCAAAUAUAGUUAUACCCAUAUCUCAACGAUAUAAAAUAUUUUUUUUUAUAAACAAAUAUGUUGUCGACACGUCUCUUUUUUAAAAAGGACCGAUGUCAAAAGUUUAAAUACCAAAUAUGGAUUAUGUCCAUAGUUUUUUGGUAACUCAGACGUACUUCUCCUUUUUAGGGUUAAACGUCAAUAUUUUAGACAAGUCUCCUAUUUUUAGGGACUGAUGUCAUUUUUAACGUGUCUCCUAUUUUUAGGGACCGACGUUAACCAUAAAAAAAACAAAAAAAUUGCAAAUAAGCUCAAAAUAUAAUAUCAUUUAAAAAAAUAAAAAAACACACAAGUAAGGGUAACCUUUCUUUUGAAAGGAUGUUUUAAGGGUGGUGUCUACCUUCCCUUAAUCAUAACUAACCCAGUACCCGAAUCUCUGGGACCAGUGUCUAAUUUGGGAUUUCUAGUUCCCUCAAAUUACUAGAUGGCGACUCCAAUAAAAUUUUCAUUUCCCCAAUAAUAAAAAAAUCUUUUUUUUAAAAAAAAAAAAGAGCGGAGCCGUCGCCCGACGUCGUGUAUCGACAGAAUGGCGACUCCACUGGGGACAGGGUUGAACCAACUGCUUGUGUGUGCUUUUCAUUUUUUUUAUUGCUAUUUAUUUUUUGAGUAUUUAUUUUAUUUGCACUAUUUAUUUUAUGCAAUAUCAAUUGUAAAUCAUUUCAUUUUUUAAUUACACAUGCAUGCAUGUUAUUUAUUUGUGUAUUCACACACUUCACAGUGAACCCAUAAAAGCUCUGGACCCGAGCUCGUCCUUUUUAAGAUUAGAAAAGAAAGAUUCAGGUGGCAAGUGUGACUUAUGUCCACUGAUGCUCAUUUGGACUUUCGCUUGGAUUGUAACUCACCCUAUGCAACGGUAUUGUGGAAUUUUCUUCCCAUACUCAUGUUGUAUAAGGUUAAGAGGCCGAUACCCCAUGGGUAAUUCGGGCAAUCUAAGAACCAAAGAUGAUCUUUAAGAUUAGAAUCAACUGAGCCAAACCCUAUGAGCUAGAUCCUAUCAAUUAGGAUAUACCUUUAGGACACAAACAAAUAUCAAUGCAUUAACAUACAUGUUCAUAUACAUUUAUAUUCUCAUUAAAUCUCCACCGAUCCUCAUAGGAAGUGUGAGAUUAAAAAAAACCAUUACUAUUGAGGAAUUUUUGACCAGAUCAGAUUUGAACCAACAUGAUGAAGGGAUUGUUUGCCAUCAGAACAUGACAUCAAAUUUCUCCCCUAAAUCGGUUCAAGUCCCUGUAGGUUUGGAGUCCUCAGUGAGAACUUUUUUAAGAGAAUCUAUCUGGUCUGUUCCUCGUCAUAAUUAAAAAAAAUUUGAAACCAAUAACAAUCAUGCAUACACCAUAUGAUUUUGCAUCCAUUUGUGCAUUUCAUUUAGUUUACUUGCAUUCACUCAGGUUAAAAUAUAGAUCCCCCAAAAGGCCGUAAAAUUCAUUACACUCGACAACGAAGGAAGAUAAUGGAGAACGAAGAAAGGGCACACCUGGAGGCUCAUUAUCAAAGAGAGUUGGAGAACAUGAAAAAUGAUAUAGCACGACUUACAAGUCUACUCGAGCAGGCCCUAGUAUCCAAGUCUGGGGAAGGCACCUCUACUCAGCCGGCAGUUGCAACUCCAUCUAUAUCUAUGCCAUCAGCUCCCUUUGUUAUCCCGCCUCAAAAUUUAGGGGCAAAUCCCUCUUCAUUUGAACAACAGUUCACUGCCAAUGUUCCACCAGCACAAGUGCCAGUUAAUGUAAACCUGGCAACUGAUGACCCACAAAGGAUGAAAUUCUCUGAAAAUAUCGAUUAUGAUAAAUUGACCGCUCUGGAAGAGAGAUUGAAGGCAGUAGAAGGGGCAGACUUAUAUGAUCCUGUUUAUGCUGCAGAAAUGUGUUUAGUUCCAAAUGUAGUUGUACCCAGAAAAUUUAGGGUACCAGAAUUCAUCAAGUAUACGGGAACUGAAUGCCCAGUCACGCAUCUUAAAUCUUACUGCAAUAAGAUGGCAGAAGUAGUGAAUGAUGAGAAACUUCUCAUCCAUUUCUUUCAAGACAGUCUUUCUGGAUCGGCAUUAAGCUGGUAUACAAGGCUGGAUAACACCAAGAUCAGAAAGUGGAAAGAUUUGGUAAAAGCCUUUGUGGAGCAGUAUAAAUUCAACAUGGAGGUAGCCCCGGACAGGUCAAGCUUGUUAGUCAUGGAGAAGGGCAGCAAAGAGACUGUAAGAGAAUACGCUUUGAGAUGGCGUGAAAAAGCAUCGCAUGUGCAACCCUCUUUGUUAGAAAAAGAAAUGGUCACUCUGUUUUCUAACACUUUUAAAUCUCCAUACUUUGAACACCUGGUGGGUAGUUCAGCUCAGCAUUUCUAUGAUGCUGUAACUAUCGCUGAGAGAAUAGAACAAGCGAUAAGAGCGGGGAGAAUGUCAGAGCCUACUGAGAAGAAAGGCUUUACUGGGAAAAAGGAUGCCGAUGUGAACAAUGUGGAAGAAGUGUAUAAGGGUAUGAAAAAGAAUUACUAUCAUUAUAACUUCCAAAUACCUACCCAACAAGUUGCAAGUGUAAACUUCACUAAACAUUUCCCUACCAACCAACAAAAUCAACCAAAUAACCAAGAAAGUAACCAGAUUGUUAAUCCUCCAAGAAGGAAUUUUCAAAGAACCCAAGAACGACUGCCACCAUUACCACUUCCCUUAGGAGAAAUGUACUCGAAGUUGUUGAGUAUUGGGCAAAUAGCCCCUAUUCCCUUAACCCCACUGCAACCUCCAUACCCAAAUUGGUAUAAGACAGAUCUGAAAUGUGAGUAUCAUGCUGGCGCUGCUGGGCAUAACAUUGAAAGUUGUAAUGCAUUUAAGAACAAGCUUUUGCAAUUGAUAAAAGCUGGAUGGAUAUCUUUUGAUGAUGCACCAAAUGUGAAGUCCAACCCUUUGCCCAAUCAUGCAAGAGAAUUCAAAGAAGGGGAUCUUGUACUAUGAAAAUCUUGCCAUUACCAAGUGAAGACCGAAGCAAGUGGGCACCAAACUAUGAAGGCCCAUAUGUAGUGAAGAAAACACUAUCUGGAGGAGCUCUGUUGUUAAGUAGGAUGGAUGGAGAUGAUUUACCUAGGCCUGUGAACUCUGAUUCUGUGAAAAAGUAUUAUGUAUGAUGGUUUCAUCCAAUCAAAUCAAUAAAGUUUUGGCCAGGAAAUUCUCUUUGCAUUAUACCUCACCAAAAAGCCCAUGCAUGAUCUCAAUGGCUCAACAAUUUGAUCUUUCAAACUUUUUUUUACAGGAGAAUCCAUUCUUCUUAAAUGAGGUUUUAAAAGAACUGAUUUUGUUUGUGAUUUCAAUGAAAUAAAUCAAUGAUUUGUUUGGAAUAAUGUUCAGAGCAAUUCCCUUGAAAGAGAUGACCAAAAAAAAAAAAAACAUGCAAUUGGAACAACUAUCACCCAAAUUAUGUCUUGGAUCCACAUUUUAUCAGCAUGAAUAAUGGUUGGUAGUACAUUAGUUUGUCAUGGUCUCUUACAAAUCCAAGGCAUUACAUUGGAUGUGGACAAAGUUUAUUGGUUUUAACUGAUCUUACUUGAAAUGAGGAAAGGCCAUCUUUGAUAUUCCUUUCACUUUCUUUAAAAUUAUCCUUUGCAGUCCCAAUUUGAGCCGAGUCUAUUUAAAGCCUUUUCUUUCACAAGAACCUUAACUAAGAUCACACCCUACACUAGGGGGCAAACAGAGAAAUAUGAUUAAGAAAAUUGUCUUGAAGGCAUGUGAGCUUUAAAGAAAGUCUGACAACAAAGAAUUCAAUAAAUUCCAAACAAUUGAGAGAAUUCCUAACAAAUAUGGGAAUAACAAAAAAAAACAGAAGUUCCUCAUUUGGAAUAUUUAUCAUCAUUUUUGUUGUCAAGGUAGCAAAAGAAAAUGCCAAGACAAGAUAAUAGUGAUCUAUAGUUUAUAAGCCCUUAAACACUUUUUGAGCUUAUGGAAUACUCUUUCUUUUAUAGCCUUGAGCCAUAAAUACAUUACGUGCCUUUGAAGUCCUUUCUAAUCAAGUAAGCGACCUGGAUCAAUAAACGGCGUUCUCAAAAUAUAAGAGACUUUUCCACAAAGAGUCAUGCAUAGCAAAUAAUUACUCAUUAUUAUUCAUGCUGUUAAAAAGAGUGUUUCUAAAGAUAAAAGGCAAAUUGUUUCUUUUCUCUCAAAAUACCUUCAAGCAAUCGCUUGAACACUUUGAAAACCAAAGCAGAAGGUCAUCUCAUCACUUACCUUCAUCUUAGAUUACUUUUACCAAGAGAUUUGACAUAAAGCCCCAGAAUUGCCUGAACAUUGUUAUAAACAGACAUUGAGAGUUUCAGUUUUCGGAACAAAACAGAUCUUUUAAAAAAUCAUUUUUGAAAAAAGGUUUUCUUUGUAAGAAAAAUGAAUAUAACACUACAGGCACCAUUAGAAAAUCAGAGAUUCUAAUGACAACAAGAGCAAAGGAGGAAAUGAAAUGAGGCAGUUAAUUCUCCCAGGGGGCAGAGAAGCAGUUACCAGAUCCUUAACACAAAGAAAUUUGCUUCCCUAGUGGAAAAUACACAUGAUAAAACUGUGGACUUCUUCUAGCAUGCGGACUGAAAUAGUAUGAUUUUCAGUAUCUAUGAAAGGAGAUUGUUGACUCUUACAAUAUGAUCAGUUAGACAACAAGAUAACUGAUACAUCUUCAGUAAGAGAAAUGCAGAUGAAAUCUCAGGACAAUGUCGGGCCACGGAGAAGCUGAUUCUCUUAGUGAAGUUACCAAUAGAGAAACGUGCAGUGACUGUUGGGAAACUCAAAAAAGUGGACAACAUGGGUCAGCUUGAGUAGACUUGAAGUACGCGUAAAUCAAAAGAGCUCACUCAAAGUCAAAACCCUCAAACAAGAUGAACGGGGAUCUAUAUUUCAAAAACAGGUAAGAUGCAUUGCAUAUCAUCUCACUUCACAAGCAUCGCAUAUUUGUUUUGCAGAUAUCUCUCGAAACAAAACUCCUCAUGGGAUCCAACGAGACAAAGAUGAAUUGAAGUUCUUUUAAAUCAUAUCAAAUAUGGCAAUUCCACAAAGGCAAAAUUCAUGAAUGAAGACGAGAAGAUGGAUUUUUAUUCAUAGGCAUAAUGGUUUACAAGUACAAACGUUAAACACUGUGAGGACGAUUAGGGAUAUUUUCAUCUUGAUGGCCAAUCAUGCCUCGGAAUUCCUCAAAUUGCUUAUGCAUGCGCUCCAUCUCUUCCUCGAACUCGAGGUGUCGAGUGUUAACAUAGUCCCUCCAAAAGUCAACACGUGCAUUGAGCUCUUGGUUUCUCCUCUCCAAUUCGUUCCUGUAACGUCUCUCAUCAUGGAGCCUUUUCCUUAAAUUCUCAAUCUGAUUAUGGAGCUCAGGAAUUUGAGUAUUCAACUCAAGUCUUCUGGCAUGAAGACGCUCCGCAACAUUCACCAAAGACGAAGUAGCUCUGAUACUAAGAGCAAGUGACUGAUUCACUGCUUCAAUAUCGGUCCUCGCUGCCAGCAUCAUUUCAUCACGAGGAAGGAUCAUGUCUCUAGCCACGGCUACAGCGGUAUCUUCAUCGUCCAUUACAGUAUCCUCUAUUGUAACUGGACGACCAUUCACUUCAAAGGUUGUACGCCAAACUACAGGCUCUGCCAGGAACAAGGUUUGGAUUAGCAUUGGAAGAAGAGGAAGACAUGGUUAAAACUUCAAAAGUUAAGAACUUUGAGAGUAUUGAAAAUGUGAGAAGUGGAUGAUGUCUUUUGCCCAAUAUUGCGUGAUUUAUAGGGAAUUUUCUCCUGCCAUCAUUUUCAAUAGAAGAUCAGAUCUUAGCCGUGGAUACAAAACUUCCUUGGGAAGUUUUCCUCAUCUUUUGGGAUCCAUUUUCAAAUCAAAUCCCAACCGUACAUAUAAGACUUUCUUGAGAAGUUUUCCUGAUCCAUUCACAACUCAGAUCUCAACUGUACAUAUAAGACUUUCUUGAGCGUCGUCUUUGAGAUUGAUUUGCAAAUCAGAUCUCAACUGUACAUGUAAGACUUUCUUGAGUGUUAUCUUUGAGAUUGAUUUGCAAAUCAGAUCUCAGCUUUACAUAUACGACUUUCGUGAGAAGCUUACAUCAUCUUUGAGAUCGAUUUACAGAUCAAAUCUCAACCGUACAGGUAUGACUUCCUUUAGAAGUUUUCAUCAACCCUGAAGCUCAUUCACUUUCAAGCAUUUUAUCAUCGGGCAGGUCGCCUGGAACAAUUAGACCACUUGCGAUUUUCAUCGCAUUUUAUCAUCGGGCAGGUCGCCUGGAACAAUUUGACCACUUGCGAGUUUCCUCGCAUUUUAUCAUCGGGCAGGUCGCCUGGAACAAUUAGACCACUUGCGAUUUUCAUCGCAUUUUAUCAUCGGGCAGGUCGCCUGGAACAAUUUGACCACUUGCGAGUUUCCUCGCAUUUUAUCAUCGGGCAGGUCGCCUGGAACAAUUAGACCACUUGCGAGUUUCAUCGCAUUUUAUCAUCGGGCAGGUCGCCUGGAACAAUUAGACCACUUGCGAUUUUCCUCGCAUUUUUUUUCAUUCAUCGGGCAGGUCGCCUGGAACAAUUAGACCACUUGCGAGUUUCCUCGUAUUUUUUUUCAUUUAUCGGGCAGGUCGCCUGGAACAAUUAGACCACUUGCGAUUUUCAUCGCAUUUUAUCAUCGGGCAGGUCGCCUGGAACAAUUAGACCACUUGCGAGUUUCCUCGCAUUUUAUCAACGGGCAGGUCGCCUGGCCGUGGAACAAUUAGACCACUUGCGAGUUUCCUCGCAUUUUUUUCAUUUAUCGGGCAGGUCGCCUGGAACAAUUAGACCACUUGCGAUUUUCUCGCAUUUUAUCAUCGGGCAGGUCGCCUGGAACAAUUAGACCACUUGCGAGUUUCCUCGCAUUUUAUCAUCGGGCAGGUCGCCUGGAACAAUUAGACCACUUGCGAGUUUCUCGCAUUUUAUAUCGGGCAGGUCGCCUGGAACAAUUAGACCACUUGCGAUUUUCAUCGCAUUUUAUCAUCGGGCAGGUCGCCUGGAACAAUUAGACCACUUGCGAGUUUCCUCGCAUUUUUUUUCAUUUAUCGGGCAGGUCGCCUGGAACAAUUAGACCACUUGCGAUUUUCAUCGCAUUUUAUCAUCGGGCAGGUCGCCUGGAACAAUUAGACCACUUGCGAGUUUCCUCGCAUUUUAUCAUCGGGCAGGUCGCCUGGAACAAUUAGACCACUCACAAAAUUCUUUACUUCACAUUCUUUCUAUUUGGGUAGGUCGCCCAUCACAACGAGACCACUUCAUCAUAUUUUUUCCAUCUGGGUAGGUUACCCAUUACAAUGAGACCACACUUCAUAUUUUUUCCAUUUUUGGGUAGGUCACCCAUUACAAUGAGACCGCACUUCACAUUCUUUCUAUUUGGGUAGGUCGCCCAUCACAACGAGACCACUUCAUCAUAUUUUUUCCAUCUGGGUAGGUCACCCAUUACAAUGAGACAACACUUCACAUUAUUUUCCACCUGGGUUGGUUACCCAUUACAAUGAGACCACACUUCAUAUUAUUUCCAUUUUUGGGUAGGUCACCCAUUACAAUGAGACCGCACUUCAUAUUCUUUCUAUUUGGGUAGGUCACCCAUCAUAAUGAGACCAUUUUUUUUUUUCACAUUCUUUCCACCUGGGUUGGUUACCCAUUAUAAUAAGACCACGUUUUACACAUUCUUUUGUUUUGAUUGAAUGAGGAUUGCCUGAUGGGAUCUCAUGUAGCUUUGGGUUAAAGGGAAUCUCCAUAUGGGAUUUCAGGUUGACCGAGCUACACACAUUCUUUGGUUUUGGUAAAGGAGGUCACCAGAUGGGAUCUCAGGUUAACGAAAAAAGAGAGACAGAAAGAAAAGUUUUUUUUCUUUACAAAGCUUACUAUGCAAAACAUCGAGGAUUUUUGCUUCGUAAGCAUUGUAAAGAGGGGGCAUCUGUUGCUACCCAAUUUUUGACCCAUGUUUUUUUUAUAUAUUUUCAAAAAAAAUCCAAAAAAACAUUAAGAAAAAAUUUGAAAAUUUAAAAAAUUUUUUUUUCUCUCUCGAGUCAACCGCAUCUCUUCAUUCAAACCAUGUCGACCAGGGUAAAAAAUGAGUUUCGGGCUGUUUCGGGUCAAAAAUAUCAUUUUCGACCAAAAUCGGGUUCACCGGGUCAAUACGGGUCAUACCAUGUUGACCAGGGUAAAAAAUAAGUUUCGGGCUGUUUCGGGUCAAAAACAUCAUUUUCGACCAAAACCGAGUUCACCGGGUCAAUACGGGUCAAACCAUGUCGACCAGAGUAAAAAAUGAGUUUCGGGCUGUUUCGGGUCAAAACCGUCAUUUCUGACCAAAACCGAGUUCACCGGGUCAAUACGGGUCAUACCAUGUCGACCAGGGUAAAAAAUGAGUUUCGGGCUGUCUCGGGUCAAAACCGUCAUUUUCGACCAAAACCCGGUUCAUCGGGUCGAUACCCAUCAAAUGUUUUUUUUGGUAUUCUAUUUUUUGGCGGUUGAAAUGAGAUUUUUCUAAUACUGAUUUGAAUUUUAGUUUUACCCAUGUAAAUAUUUAUUAUUAUAUAUAAUAAAACAAAAUUAUGGUAGUUGUGUGCAAUAUUUAUUAUUAUAUAUAAUAAAACAAAAUUAUGGUAGUUGUGUGCAUUAUUUAUUAUUAUAUAUAAUAAAACAUUUUUAUGGUUGUUGUCCCGUGGCUAUAAAUAGCCACGAGAGGGGGGCAGAAGGAGAAACGGGAAAAAAUAAAAAAGGAAGAGAAAAGAAAAAAAGAAAGAAUCGAUUGAUACUAUUUCUAAUUUUUUUAGUUUUUUCUUCAGGAGAGUAGGAUAUUGUCUUUUAAAAAAAAAAAAUUAAAAAAUACCAAACAUAUCCGAACACAUCUCAGCCGUUAACAUAUUCCAGGAUUUAAUCUCGUUGCGCCACGUCAUCCGGUGCACCGCGCCACACAGAAUAAAAAACCAGACAAUCUGGGCCGUCCGAUCAACCUGCUGAUCUAGUCAAUCACAGCCAUCCGAUCGUUUCAUCCAAGAUCCAACGGUUACCAUCCUUCAGCGGCACCGGUACACCAUACACGCGUCCGCACCGUAGCACAUCUCGGAGCAUCUCUCUCCUCUCGCCGGCGACUCUCUCUCUCUCCUCCGAUCUCCCAUAUCCGGCCGUCUCCAGCCUCCGAACCACCACAGAAAGGUCUCCAAUCUCCUGAAAAGCAAAACCCCGGUGGUUUUCAUCGUUUUCACCGCCUCAUCUGGCCGGAAAAAAGCCGCGAUCGUCGCCGGCCACCGAAGCUUCAAGUCAUCGAUUCUCUCUCCUCAGCCAUCAACGUCCGUCGAGACCACCACCAACAGAAUCCUCGACCUCAGAUCUACCAGAACCGACCAUCGGUUGGCCAGAAAUCUCGCUUGAAAAUCUCGCCGCCACCAACAGUAGCCACGCGUGAGCCACACGCGCCGCCAGUGGCAUUUUCGUAAAUUUCUGAUAAAUCCGAGGGUAUUUCAGUCUUUUACCUAUACUGUGUCACUCAUGUAAUUUUAUUUAGAUUGCUAAUAUUUUUUAUUUGUAUAUAAAUUUUCUUGCAUGUUGUAAAAUAAAAAUAAACACAAAAAAAAAAAAAGAAUAACAACGCGGGUCCAACACCCAUCCUAUUAUGUCAUCAUUCGUGGGUCCAAAGCCCCAAUUUUCAAAUACGGUUAUACCCAUUUCUCAAACGAUAUAAAAAUAAUUUUUAUUUUAUAAACAAAUACUGUUCGUCGACACGUCUCUUUUUAGAAAAGGACCGAUGUCAAAAGUUUAAAUACCAAAUAUGGAUUAUGUCCAUAGUUUUUGGUAACUCAGACGUAAAUCUCCUUUUUAGGGUUAAACGUCAAUAUUUUAGACAAGUUUCCUAUUUUUAGGGACUGAUGUCAUUUUUAACGUGUCUCCUAUUUUUAGGGACCGACGUUAACCAUAAAAAAAAACAAUAAAAUUACAAAUAAGCUCAAAAUAUAAUAUCAUUUAAAAAAAAUAAAAAAACACACAAGUAAGGGUAACCUUUCUUUUGAAAGGAUGUUUUAAGGGUGGUGUCUACCUUCCCUUAAUCAUAACUAACCCAGUACUCGAAUCUUUGGAACCAGUGUCUAAUUUGGGAUUUCUAGUUCCCUCAAAUUACUAGAUGGCGACUCCAAUAAAAUCUAUUUCCCCCAAUAAUAAAACAAUCUUUUUUUAUUAAAAUAAACAAAAAGAGCGGAGCCGUCGCCCGACGUCGUGUAUCGACACUUAUGUUUCACCUGUGUUCCUCAGGUAAGAAGAGAUAAACUUGAAAAAAAGGCUAAAGAUGGCAUCUUUGUUGGCUAUAGAGUCUUUCAACCUCAAACAAAAAAGGUGAUAGUUAGCAGAGACAUCAAAUUCAUUGAAACCGAAAAACGGAACUUCAAAGAUGCAAGUGCAGGUAUGGAGAUUGUGCAGGAUGUUGAUGACAUUGAUGAAGCACCAGUUAGAGGAACUAAGUUGCUUACAGAUAUUUAUCAAAGCUGCAAUGUAGCUGUGUUAGAACCUGUAGAAUUUGAAGAAGCCAAAAAUGAUCCAAAAUGGAUUGAUUGAAUGAAUGAAGAGUUAAGGAUGAUUGAGAAUAAUCAAACAUGGAAAUUGGUGGACAUGCUAGAGCACAAAAAACCUAUUGGAGUAAAAUGGGUUUACAGAACAAAAUUGAAUGUUGAUGGCAUUAUCAACAAACACAAAGCCAAAUUGGUGGUUAAAGGUUAUGCACAGAUUUUUGGUGUUGAUUUUUCAAAGACAUUUGCACCAGUUGCAAGCCUGGAUACCAUAAGAAUGCUACUAGCUCAAAAAGGUUGGAAAAUCUUUCAACAUGAUGUGAAGUGUGCAUUCUUGAAUGGCUAUCUGCAUUAGGAGAUUUUCGUUGAAUAGCCAAAAGGAUUUGUUGUAAGAGGAGAAGGAAGAAAAGGAUUACUUAUUGAAGAAAGCUUUAUAUGAGUUGAGAAUAAUUAGGAGGCUUAACCCAAUAGUUAACCAACCCUUUCUAUAUAUAUGAGUAGGGCAAUAUACAAUAGUAAAGGUGGAGUUUACCACAUAAGAAUAUGACUACAAUAUUUCCUAUAUAGUUACAUUCUAUAAUACGCCCCCUCAAGCUGAGGGUGGAGGAUCAACCCGAAGCUUGAAUCGAAAAGCAAUAAACGAAGCAGCAGGAAGUGGUUUAGUGAAGACAUCGGCAAGUUGAUCCUGAGAGGAAAUAAAACGAAUCUAAAUAUCCUUCUUCGCAACUCUAUCUCGGAAAAAAUGAUAAUCAAUCUCAAUAUGUUUUGUGCGAGCAUGAAAUAUAGGGUUUGCGGACAAAUACGUGGCACCAAGAUUGUCACACCAGAUAAUAGGGGCAGAAGGAGUCGGAAUCUGAAGAUCCGUUAACAAGUACUGAAGCCAGAUAACUUCAGUCGUGCCAUCGGCUAAGGCUUUGUACUCAGCUUCCGUCGAAGAAUGAGCAACAGUGCGUUGCUUACUCGAUUUCCACGAAAUCGGCGUCUGACCAAAGAACACAAGAUAACCACCUGUAGACUUUCUAUCCUAAAUACUACCUGCCCAAUCUGCAUUUGUAAAACCGUGUAAAGCAAAAGAAGAGUUGCGAGUAAUAUGUAAACCAUGUGAUGCCGUACCACGAAGAUAACGCAAGAUGCGUUUCAUGGCUGCCCAAUGAGAUUCUAUAGGAGCAUGCAUAAAUUGACAGACCCGGUUAACAGCAAAGCAAAUAUCCGGACGUGUGAAAGUGAGAUAUUGGAGAGCACCAACAAGUUGCCGAAAACGAGUAGCAUCAGAAAACAAUGGAUCCGGCAUAAUGGUGGCUUUGGAUGCCGAAAUAGGAGUAUCAACUAGUUUACAGGAUAACAUACCAGCUCGUGUGAGGAUAUCAAGUGUAUACUUAUGUUGGCAAAGCAUAAGUCCCAGACCAGUACACUGCACUUCAAUACCCAAGAAAUAAUGAACAUCACCCAAAUCCCAAAGUUUAAACUAUGAGCUCAGUAGCUGAAUGAGGCGUUGUAGCAGAAUUCCAUUAUUACCCGUAAGUAGAAUAUCAUCAACAUAAAUCAAAAGAUAACAAAUAUCACUACCAACCGAGAAGAUAAACAAUGAGGUAUCCACUUUAGAAGCACAUAAACCAAUGGAUAAUAGGAAGUCAUUCAGACGAGUGUACCAAGCCCACGGAGCCUAUUUUAACCCAUAUAGAGAUUUAUGCAAUUGACAUACAUGACCUGGGAGUGCAGAAUCAACAAAAUCUGGAGGUUGUUUCAUGUAAACCUCUUCAUCAAGGACUCCAUUUAGAAAUGCAUUAUGAAUGUCAAGCUGAUGAAUUUUCCAACCACUCGAAAUUGCAGUCCAUUAUAAUAAUGAUAGGCAAAAAAGGUUCAUUGUGGCGUAAAAGACAAUUUAGACCAAUAUAAAUGACUAGUCGUUGCAUUUGAUGGGAUUGACUCGUGUGUUAAUUGUACAUUACCUUGCACAUUAAAGUUUCAUGCACCUAUUUCAUUUUAUUUUUUUUCCAUAUUAAAGAGUAACAAGUAAAAUCAUAUAUUUAUUAGCAUCAAGCAAAAAGGUUUUACAAUUUAUUCUUCCACAUAAUUUAAUUUUAAAUAAUAAUGUUUUGAAUCUCUCUCUCUAAUUCUUGAUACAUUCUUGAUAUAUUUAUGACCUAACACUUGUUAACCUUUCAAAUAAUAAUAAGGCUAUUAGAGUUCUCACCUCCUCUUAAAGAGGACCUUUACAGCCUUGUGAGGGUAUGCUGAAUUCUCUCUCCAAUUCUUGAUACAUUCUUGUUUAAUGAAGCUGAACCAAACAUAGCACGGUUGUCAUCUUGCGUCUUAAAUAUGCUAGUGUCUAAGAGGGUGGACUGUUCGAUUUUACUGUUUUUUGGUCCCAUCCAUAUUAAAUAUGUUUGUGUUUCUAGAUAUGGGAUCAUUACUGAUAACUAUGAAUUAUUGCCCGUUCAUUUGUGGUAUAAUUAAUUCCUAUAUAUAUCAGUAAUUUCCUAACUCCAUUAAUAGUUAAAUUUGAGGUCAUUAUUUUCUCCCAUUUCCACGUUUAUCCAAAUAUUGUUGCACUUUGUUUCCAAGUGACGUAUAAUUUCCAAGUUCCAAUCCAAUUGUCAAUACAUUGAAAGAAAUUUCUGUAAAGAAUCAAGGGGAAUGUGAAAAACAGCAACAUUAUUGUUCAGUCUCCAAAAUGUUUCUUCGCAUAAUUUGAUUUCUCCAAUUAUUUGGAGAAACAGUUUCCCUUCUUAGUCAAGCCACUAAGUAAAUACAAGCUGAAUUCUGGAAUGGCAAUAUUCCAUGGCUUUCUAAUUGUUUCUUAGCACAAUUAUUUGUCCAGUCUCCAAAAUGUUCUGUUUGUGUGCUUUUUAGUUUUUCCCCUUCUAAGCCAGCAGUGGAGAACAGUAGCUUUGAUUGUGAAGGCACGACAAAAAGCCGAGGAGAAAACGAGCAAGGCCGAAGAAGGAUUUAGUGCAUGAGUCAACGGCAACUAUAGGUACUUCUCCCUCACAUGUGCUUUUUCACAUGCACGCUUGUGUAUGUUUACCACUCUCCAUAGAGACUGUGUUCAGUAAGGAACAAUUUGUAACUUGUUUUUGUAGGCAUGGACCAAGCUAAUGCAGAGGAGUGCGAGGCCACACAUGAAAUAAUUACUCUUCAAUGGAUUUAAGACCUCACAAAUUCUUCUUCCCCCUCUGAUCAGUACUGCAGUAUAUUUCCUGUUGUGUAUUGCUGGAAACUGAAACGAUAACUUUGUAGUUGGAUCAUGCUUAGUUCAAAUCAUUGGGAUAUUUUCUCCCUUGCAGAAUGGUUACUGUUUGUGUUGUGGUCUGAAGUUACAGUUGCUAUUUACUGUCUGGAACAUGCACUCAGCAUAGAUACAGUAUAUACUGCUGCGGGAUUCUACCGUACAUCUACUAGUUACAGCACUUUCACCACUCCUGGGAGCAAGAAUCUAUCUAACAUGCUUACUUGAAGAAUUUACUCAGUCUUGGGGUAAUAGUUAAUGCUUCUAUUUGCUUUUCUCAUGGUAAAAAACCUAGACCAUCCUUUUAUUUUCAUGUUGAGCUGAAACAUUUAUCAUAUUUUCAAAUUGGAGGAGGACUUGACUGCACAACUUGCCAACUGCCAUGCCUAUAUGUUGAUGAUUUGAUAUUCACCGGCAACAACCCUAUCAUGUUUGAAGACUUCAAACAAAGCAUGGUACAAGAGUUUGAGAGGACAGACAUUGGUCUAAUGUCACAUUUUCUUGGCUUAGAAAUAACGCAGAAAAAAGAAGGGAUUUUUGUAUCCCAAAGCGGUUACGCCAAAGAUAUUCUUGAAAGGUUCAAGAUGGAAAGCUGCAAUCCGGUAUCAACUCCAGUUGAGAAUGGAGUGGAAUUGAGGAAGAGUAGAGUUGAAAAUGUUGAUCCAACUUACUUCAAAAGCUUAGUAGGCAGCUUAAGGUACUUGACAUGUACCAGACCGGAUAUACUCUACAGAGUCGGACUAAUCAGCAGAUAUAUGGAGACACCAGACCAGUCUCACUUGAAUGCAGCCAAGAGAAUUCUUCGCUACAUCAAAGGCACAAUAAAUGAAGGUAUGUUUUAUACCUCAAGUAAAGAUUUCAAUCUUGUAGGCUACUCGGAUAGUGAUUGGGAUAGAGAUCUGGAUGAAAGGAAAAGCAUAACAGGGUUUUUCUUUUUCAUGGGAGAUACAUCUUUCACAUGGUCAUCCAAGAAGCAAUCAAUUGUAACGUUAUCAAGCCGUGAAGCUGAGUAUGUUGCUGUCAACUCAGUUGUAUGCCAUUCAAUAUGGUUAAGGAAUAUGCUGAAGUUUCUGCGAUUUCCUUAAGAAAAUCCUACAGAGAUUUAUAUUGUCAAUCGAUCAGCGAUUGCAUUGGCAAAGAACUCGGUGUAUCAUGAAAGAAGUAAACACAUUGAUGCACGUCAUCAUUUUAUCCGAGAGCAUGUGAAAAAUAAAGAAGUCGAGCUGAUAUCCUGCAAUACAAAUGAUCAAGUUACAGAUAUCUUCACAAAGCCAUUGAAGGGAGAAGUAUUUAUCAGAUUAAAGUUCAUGCUUGACAUGACAUCCCUCGAUUGAGUUUAAAGGGGAGAUUUGUUGAAGUAAACUCAAUAUCUAGAAGGUCAAGCAAGACAACCACCCAUCACCACUUGCAGCCACCAGCUGCCACCAACCGCAGCCGCCAGCCGCCAGCCGCCUUCACACUUGAAGGUUGAAUUUUCUUGUUUUGAAUUCGUGUAUAAAUAGGCUGCUAAGCUUAUGUUAUUAUGUGUGGAGAGUUUAGAGAGCAACACUAGAAAGAGAGAGAGAGGGUGUGUAUUAAGAUUUUGUGUUAGUGUAAGCUUUUUGUUUUUGAAAUAAAACUUUGUGUUUUAUCCCCUCUGAGUGUUUCAAAGCCACCACCAGUGGUUUCUCCCACCAACAAUUGGUAUCAGAGCCUUGUUCGUCAGAAAACAUAAGUGUUUUGGGAUAUACCCGAAUUUUCAAAGUUUUUAUCAUUCCACAAUGUAGAGCUCAUCAAUACGAACUCACUGGUGCAAGAAUCAGCCUCAUCGAAGCCCAAGGUGAGCCACACGCGCCGCCUUAAGAUUCUGCACAGGUCGCCCACGCGCAUCCCACGUGCGCCAAAUGUUGAAGACGAGUUCCAUCUAAGCCGAGCCAUCCUCCACGCCGAGCCGAGCCGUUUAAGCCGUGUCCUAGCCGAGCCACAAGUCAAGUGCAGCCGAGCCGUCCUCCGCGUCGAGCCGAGCCGUUUUCUAGUCACAGCCGAGCCGACAGAAUAUUCCCGGUUCGCCCCCAGCAGUUUUUUGACUGGUUCACCCCAUUUGUGACCCAUUUUCAACAAGGUCAGACCAAUUCCCUAUUAUUUUAAGUAUUCCUGAUCGAUCUACAAUGUCCGUUUUGCCAAAUUCAGCUCCCAUAAGGUGAUAUAGUCAUUCAAAGAGCAAAAUGACUACAGAAAGUACACAAACACUCAUCCCGAAGCUGACCAAAGAUAACUAUGAUAGUUGGUGCAUCAAAUUAAAGGCAUUCCUUGGUUCACAAGAGUGUUUAUAUAUUGUACAAUAUGAUUAUGAUGAACCAGAGUCCAAAGAAGCAGAAGAUGCUCUACAAGAGGCACAAAAGCAAGCCCUGAAAGUCAACAGAAAGAAAGACAACAAAGCAAAGACCAUCAUCUAUCAAGGUCUUGAUGAAGAUACAUUCGAGAUCAUUGUUUCCUCUGAAACAUCAUAUGACAUAUGGGAGACUCUCUAACAAAAAUACAAAGGUGCUGACAUAAUCAAGAAGAUUCGUCUUCAAUCUUUGUGAGGUGAAUUUGAGUUAUUGGAAAUGAAGUCUUCGAAAUCUAUUUCUGAUUAUCACACAAGAAUUAUGGUGAUAGUCAAUCAAAUGAGAAGAAAUGGAGAAGCCAUCACAGAUUCUCGAAUUACUGAGAAAAUUUUGAGAUCCCUAGAUCUAAAAUUUGAUUUUGUUGUUGUCGCCAUUGAAGAGUCCAAAGAAGUGGACAAGUUAAUAGUGGAUGAACUUAUGAGUUCUUUGCAAGCUCAUGAGCAAAAGAUCGUAAAGAGAAAUGGAGAUAAGGCAAUUGAGCAUGCCUUACAAGCAAAGUUAUCUUUCAAAGUCAGAUAUGAGCAAGGGGAGACUUCAACAAGUGGAUAUACCACUCAAGCAAGAAGUCAAUAAUCGAGAGGAGGAUUUCAGCGAUUCCAAGGAAGAGGAUCUUGGAAUACAGGCUUUAGAGGAAGAGGUGGUAGAAACAUCACCAGAGGAGGUCGAGGACAACAAGCAUUCAUUCCUAGAGGAAGAGGAGGCGGUUACAAUAACCGUGACAAGAGGAAUAUCCAGUGUUAUAGUUGCAAUCAAUUUGGGCACUAUAGCACUGAAUGUCGAAGGAAAGCUCCGUUAGAGAUACGAGAGCAAGCCAACUAUGCAGAGAAGGAUGACAGAGAAGUAGUUGCAUUACUUGUCCAACAAGGACUUGUUGAGAAACAUGAGAAUAUAUGGUAUCUAGAUUUUGGAGCCAGCAAUCACAUGUGUGGUCACCGAGAUUUAUUUGGUGAUCUAGAUAAGACCGUACAAGGUCUAGUUACGUUUGGAGAUACCUCAAAGGUUCUAUUCAAAGGUAAAGGCAACAUCCCAAUCAACUUGAAGAACGGCGAUCACAGCUACCUCGCCGAUGUUUAUUAUGUCCCAGCCAUAAAGCAGAACUUGAUCAACAUAGGUCAACUUAUGGAGAGAGGUUGUACUCUUUUCACGAAGAAUUGUCAUUUGACAAUUACAGACUACAAUGGGAGACUAAUUGCCUAUGUGAAAAUGUCCAAGAAUAGGAUGUUUCCUUUAAACAUCCAGUAUGAUGCAGCAAAGUGUUUGAGCGCCAUCACCAACAGUGAAGAAUGGCUUUGGCACCUAAGGCUUGGACAUCUGAAUUUCACGAGUCUGAAGAUGCUAGCAAGCAAGAAGAUGGUCAAAGGUAUGCCUCACAUUGAUCAUCCAGAUGAAGUUUGUGAGAGUUGUGUCCUCAGCAAACAUCACAGAUCCAGUUUUGCCAAAGAAGUCAACUGGAAAGCAAAGAGGCCACUGGAGUUAGUGCACACAGAUGUGUGUGGCCCAAAAAAGCCUAUGUCGACUGGACAAAAUAGGUACUUCCUCACUUUUAUUGAUGAUUUUAGCAGAAAGACGUGGAUAUACUUUCUGAAGAGAAAGUCAGAAGUAUUCAAUUGUUUUAAAGAUUUUAAAGCAAUUGUUAAGAAGCAAAGUGGCUAUAAGAUCAGAACUGUAAAUCUGAUCAAGGUGGAGAAUAUACAGCAAAUGACUUUGAAGCCUUUUACACAACAAGGCAUCAGACAUCAGACAACCAGCUUAUACACCACAGCUGAAUGGUGUAGCAGAGGAAGAAUCGCACGAUUCUUGACAUGGCAGAAGUCUGCUCAAAGCAAAGAAGUUGCCCAAGCAAUACUGGGCUGAAGCUGUAUCAUGUGCAGUGUAUCUACUGAAUCGCUGCCCAACCAGAAGUUUGCAAGGAGUCACUCCAGAAGAAGCAUGGAGUGGUCACAAACCAAGUGUUACUCAUCUACGAGUCUUUGGUUGUGUGGCAUAUGCAAAGAUCCCAGAUGCAAGAAGGAGAAAGCUCGAUGAUAAAGCGAGAAAUGCAUCUUUGUCGGAUAUGGUGAAAGAAGGAUGGGAUACAGGCUGUAUAAUCCCAUCACGAAGAAGGUGAUUACGAGUAGAGAUGUUAUCUUUGAAGAAGAUAAAUCUUGGGCAUGGAAUGAUGAUCAAGAAGCAGUCAAAUGGAUCAACACUGAUUUGAUCCUUGAAGGUGAAGAAGUACCAACAGUACUUGUCGAAGAACCGAUUGUGCCAGCAGCUGAACCACAAAGUCCGGCACACAGUUUCCCUGUAUUCAACAGGAGAACACACCAGGAGCAUCAUCAUCAACACCACCAUCAGCAUCCUCAUCAGAAGGACCAAGAAGGAUGAGAAAUCUUGAAGAGCUGUAUGAUGCCACUCAAGUCAUGGAAGAUACAACUUUGUUUUGUUUCUUUGCAGAUAGUGACCCAUUAAGCUUCAAUGAAGCUGUCACAGAAGAGAAAUGGAUAAAGCAAUGGAUGAAGAAAUACAUGCCAUUGAGAAGAAUGAUACCUGGAAGCUGACUUAUCUACCAGAAAACAAGAAAGCAAUAGGUGUCAAAUGGGUCUACAAGACGAAGAAGAAUGCAAAAGGAUAAGUGCAAAGAUACAAAGCCAGAUUAGUGGCUAAAGGCUACAAACAGAGAGAAGGCAUUGACUAUGGAGAAGUAUUUGCUCCAGUAGCCCGGCUAGAGACAAUCAGACUGAUGAUCUCACUAGCUGCACAACAUAGAUGGAAGAUCUAUCAACUCGAUGUGAAGUCAGCAUUUCUGAAUGGCUUCCUAGAAGAAGAUCUAUGUUGAACAACCACUUGGAUACAUUGAUGCUGAAAAUGAAGGCAAAGUAUACAAGUUGAAGAAGGCUCUCUAUGGUUUGAAGCAAGCUCCGCGUGCUUGGAAUACCAGAAUUGACAGGUAUUUUCAAGAUAAUGGAUUUGAAAAAUGUCCAUAUGAACACGCAAUAUGUGAAGAAAGGAGCAGAUGGCAGCAUCUUAUUUGCGUGCCUGUAUGUUGAUGAUUUGAUAUUCACCGGCAACAACCCUACCAUGUUUGACGACUUCAAACGAAGCAUGGUACAGGAGUUUGAAAUGACUGACAUUGGUCUAAUGUCACAUUUUCUUGGCUUAGAAGUAACGCAGAAGGAAGAAGGGAUUUUUGUAUCCCAAAGCGGUUACGCCAAAGAUAUUCUUGAAAGGUUCAAGAUGGAAAGCUGCAAUCCGGUAUCAACUCCAGUUGAGAAUGGAGUGGAAUUGAGGAAGAGUAAGGUUGGAAAUGUUGAUCCAACUUACUUCAAAAGCUUAGUAGGAAGCUUAAGGUACUUGACAUGUACCAGACCGGAUAUACUCUACGGAGUCGGACUCAGCAGAUACAUGGAGACACCAGACCAGUCUCAUUUGAAUGCAGCCAAGAGAAUUCUUCGCUACAUCAAAGGCACAAUGAAUGAAGGUAUGUUUUAUACCUCAAGUAAAGAUUUCAAUCUUGUAGGCUACUCAGAUAGUGAUUGGGAUAGAGAUCUGGAUGAAAGGAAAAGCAUAACAGGGUUUUUCUUUUUCAUGGGAGAUACAUCUUUCACAUGGUCAUCCAAGAAGCAAUCGAUUGUAACGUUAUCAAGCUGUGAAGUUGAGUAUGUUGUUGUCAACUCAGUUGUAUGCCAUUCAAUAUGGUUAAGGAAUAUGGUGAAGUUUUUGGGAUUUCCUCAAGAAAAUCCUACAGAGAUUUAUAUUGACAAUCGAUCAGCGAUUGCAUUGGCAAAGAACUCGGUGUAUCAUGAAAGAAGUAAACACAUUGAUGCACGUCAUCAUUUUAUCCGAGAGCAUGUGAAAAAUAAAGAAGUCGAGCUGAUAUCCUGCAAUACAAAUGAUCAAGUUACAGAUAUCUUCACAAAGCCAUUGAAGGGAGAAGUAUUUAUCAGAUUAAAGUUCAUGCUUGGCAUGACAUCCCUCGAUUGAGUUUAAAGGGGAGAUUUGUUGAAGUAAACUCAAUAUCUAGAAGGUCAAGGAAGGCAACCACCCAUCACCACUUGCGGCCACCAGCUGCCACCAACCGCAGCUGCCAGCCGCCUUCACACUUGAAGGUUGAAUUUUCUUGUUUUGAAUUCUUGUAUAAAUAGGCUGCUAAGCUUAUGUUAUUAUGUGUGGAGAGUUUAGAGAGCAACACUAGAAAGAGAGAGAGAGGGUGUGUAUUAAGAUUUUGUGUUAUUGUAAGCUUUUUGUUUUUGAAAUAAAACUUUGUAUUUUAUCCCCUCUGAGUGUUUCAAAGCCACCACCAGUGGUUUCUUCCAUCAACAGGUUUCAAUGAGUUUUUUUGUUGCUGAUAAUGAUUUAUUAGCCAAUAAAUUUAGGUUCAUUUAGGAUGAGUUUUUAUGUUGACUGAAAACUCUGGACUUUUCCCUUGUCAUGGACCAUUUGUGUGCUUAAAUAUGUUACUUUUUUGGUACCAGUGAGUUAAAAAAAUUUCCAGCAAUGGCUUCUUCUAGUUUUGAUUUUAUAUUCCUAGUAGUAAUGUUACUGUUACCAUUCAUGGCUGCUGCUCAAACUAACGGAAGAGUACCCGUGGGAGCAUCCAUCACUGCAACUGAUGAUUCUCCUUCAUGGCUUUCUGAUUCUGGUGAAUUUGCAUUCGGUUUUCGCCAGCUGGAGAACAAGGAUUAUUUCUUGUUGUCCAUUUGGUAUGAAAAGAUUCCUGAGAAGACCGUAGUUUGGUAUGCAAUUGGAGAGGAUCCUACAGAUGAUCGAAGGUGGAGCUGACUGAUGAUCGUGGGCUGUUGCUUGCUGAUCCUCAAGGCAAUCUAAUAUGGACAUCUCGUAUCCUUCUAGGUGCAGUUUCGUCAGGUGUUCUGAAUGACACUGGCAACUUCGUGCUUCAAAACAGAAAUUCUGACAGGUUGUGGGAGAGUUUCAACAAUCCCACUGAUACAUUGUUGCCUACUCAGAUUAUGGAGGCUGGAGGGGUGGUUUCUUCUCGAAGGACGGAGACCAACUUUUCGCUGGGGAGAUUCCAGCUCCGUUUGCUUGAUAAUGGAAAUCUUGUGCUGAAUUCCAUGAACUCGCCAACCAAAUUUGCUUACGACGAGUACUAUAGAAGUGGAACUUCUGAUGCUUCAAAUUCAUCAAAUUCUGGUUAUGGAUUGAUCUUCAAUGAGUCAGGCUACAUGUACAUAUUGAGAAGAAAUGGGCUGAGAGAGGAUCUCACAAAAACAGCACUUCCUACUACAGGCUUCUACCGUAGGGCAACUCUCAAUUUCGAUGGUGUUUUCACUCAAUAUUCAUACCCGAAAACAUCCUCUUCUAUUAGAAGCUGGUCACCUGUCAGGUCUGAACCAGAAAAUAUAUGCAAGUUUAAUUCAAUUUGGGGUAGUGGAGCGUGUGGAUACAACAGCAUCUGCAGCCUAAGUGUUGAUCGAAGGCCCAAUUGUACUUGUCCACAAGAAUUUUCUUUGCUUGAUCAGAAUGACAAGCAUGGAAGCUGCAUACCAAAUUUCGAAAUAAGCUGCAAAGAUAAUGGAAAAAAUUCCUCAGAAGAUCUGUAUGAUUUUGUUGAGCUAAGAUAUGUUGAUUAUCCAUCAGGUGAUGCAGAACAUUUACAACCUCAAAAUGAAGAGCAGUGCAGAAAAGCUUGCUUGAAUGACUGUCUGUGUGGGGCUGUCAUCUUUUUAGGCAACAACUGCUGGAAGAAGAAGUUACCACUUUCGAAUGGAAAAGUUGACAGUGGUUUUAACGGGAAGACUUUCAUCAAAUUUAAGAAAGGUGAUAUCCCUGCCGGGAAUCCUGGUCUUCAGAUUCCUGAAACGAAGACGGAAAGGGACAUUAAGGUCAUCACAGGAAUAGUGCUCUUGGUCAGCUCUGUAUUUGUCAACUUUAUAUUGAUCAGUACAUUAUGUUUCUGUUCUUCCUUCAUUUACCGCAACAAAGUAGCAAAUGUUCGAGAAGAAAACAAUGUGGAGUCAAACUUGCGUUCAUUUACAUACAAAGAGCUCACAGAAGCUACAGAAGGCUUCCAGGAUGAACUGGGGAGAGGAGCUUUUGGUGGUGUUUACAAAGGUGCGAUAAAAACAGGUUUUACUAAUUUUAUUGCUGUGAAGAAGUUAGAUGGCGUGGUUGAACAUGGUGAGAAGGAAUUCAAAACCGAAGUGAACGUGAUCAGUCAGACGCAUCACAAGAAUUUGGUCCGAUUGUUAGGAUUUUGUGACGAGGGGCAGCAUCGUUUGUUGGUGUAUGAGUUCUUGAGUAAUGGCACUCUAGCCGAUUUUCUUUUUGGAAGCUUAAGGCCUAGUUGGAAGCAAAGAACUCAGAUUGCCUUCGGCAUUGCAAGAGGACUCUUGUACCUACACGAAGAAUGUAGCACCCAAAUCAUUCACUGUGACAUAAAGCCGCAGAACAUUCUUAUUGAUGACUACUACAAUGCUCGGAUAUCAGAUUUUGGAUUGGCAAAACUUUUGGCGAUUAAUCAGAGCCAAACCAAAAUUGCCAUCGAAGGAACAAAAGGAUAUGUUGCUCCUGAAUGGUUCAGGAACACACCAGUCACUGUGAAGUUUGAUGUCUAUAGCUUUGGUGUCUUGCUGCUAGAGAUCAUCUGCUGUCAGAGAAGUGUAGAUCUGGAGAUCAGUGGAACUGGAGCUAUAUUGACCGACUGGGCUUAUGACUCCUAUAGGCAUGGAACGCUUGACGCUUUGAUUGAAGAUGAUAUGGAGGCCAUGAAUGACGUAUCAACACUAGAGAGGGCUAUGAAGGUUGCAAUUUGGUGCAUUCAAGAGGUGCCAUCUCUUAGACCCACCAUGAGGAAGGUGACACAGAUGCUUGAAGGAGUUGUUGAAGUUCCCGCUUCCCCGAAUCCGUUCCCGUUCAGUGAAAUUAGUUGCUCCUGAACACAACAGUAACUGCCUUAAUUUCAACUAGUUAUGAUUUUUCUGGCUGUGGUUGAAUCCAUACUCAUCUAAUGAUUCAUCUGUUGCCAGUAUAUUCAUUUCUCAACCAAUUCUUCUUGAUAGAAGUGCAAAACAUUAUAGUUUUCUUCAAGAAGCUUUUCAUCUUGUCCACAGCUUAGUGUUUAUUACAGUUACAUGGAUUUCGUCAAGAUUAUUUCUCAAAUUUUACGGCUCUCUGAUUGUAAGUUUAAAAUGACUUCUUAUUUUUUCAGAAGAGCAUCAUCACGGAUUACUAGAAUUUACAAUCAUUACUAUGGUUUUCCUCAAGAUUAAUGCUCCAUUUUUACCACUUCCUGACUGUAAAUCGAGGGCCAUUUCCCUCCUGUUUUCGGAAGAACACAGUAUUUUGUAGAAAAUUAUUAUGAACAUCGUGGGCUGGUGAUUGCUGAUCCUCGAGGCAAAGAGUUUCAGCAAACCUACUGAUACAUUGUAGCCUACUCACACUACGGAGACAACAAAGAAAGAAAUUCGACAGUUAGACGCAUUUUUUCAAUUAGUGAUCACUAAGGUGUUAAAUCUUCAAGGUAGCAGAUUUUCAAAAUAUAAAAUCUGUCACCAUGUGCACCUCCCUCUAGUUAUAUCCCAUGUUGCUGUUUUUCGUUGGCCAGCAAGGAUGCUCUCAUGCAAGUGAGUUGGAGGUAAGAUUGUCAAGAUUCUGUUGAAUGUUUUGUUGACAGAGAGGGCAGUCUUGCUGGUUGCAUGCGAACACACACACAAGAGAACCCACCUGUCACGGGGUAAUUUUUCGCUCUCAAAUAAACUUGUGUGGCAGUCUAGUCCCUCACUAGACUCAACCUUCCCUCACCAAUCCCACUCGUGUUUGCCUAGUAACUAAGCAAACGGAAUACUCAAGUAGAAUAAGAUAAUCAAAAUGCACAACAAGCUCUACGGGAACUCUUUCCCAACCUUUAUUAAUCUCGUACACAAAGGAAACUAUAUACAAAUUCGUAUAUGUGCUAUGCACAAAGAUUGCAUGCUACACCAAGCUAUCUUUAGCUCGUACUCUACAUGUUCUUACAUGCCCCUACAUGCUGAACAUGCCCCACGCAUGCCUCCUAUCAACUAAGAGUAGCAAAAAGUAUUUAUAGACAAGCAUUUACAAGGCACAACUCCCAUUUCUACUUUUAAGGAAGUAGUGGGACACUAUCUCACCUAUGUUCACCUAUGAACAUAAUGGCCCCAUUCAGUGGCGGAGCCAAGAUUUUUUAAAUGAGGAGGCAAAUUACUAACAAAUAUUUAAUAUUAUAUAUUAUACAUACAUGUGUUAUAUAUAGAAAUUAAUUUAAUAUAUAUAUAAGCUAAAGUUAAGUUAAAUUAAUUUAAAAAUAUUUUUAAACUGAAAAAACUUACAUUAUAAUUAUUAUUUUCAAGAUUUUAUAUUUUAAAAUUGUUUCAUAAUAAUUUUAUUUUUAAUCUCAUUAAAAAUAUCUUUCUCAAUAUAUAGAACAAAUUUUCAUUUAUUUAUUUUUAAAUUUUUCAAGGAUUAGGAAAGUUCUUGACAACAAUUCUAUGCUGACAUAUGGUACAUAACAUUUAAAAUCAUAGCUUGUUGUCAAGAACAAUUUUUCAAGGAUUAAAAAGGAUUGUUUAAAAUUAAUGUUGUUCUUCCUGACUUGUUGUUUUGUAUAAGUAGAUUAAACAUAAAGAUUAAAUGUUUUUUUUUAAUUUAUUUAUUAUGUCCUUAAUUUUUUUUAGUUGCCCUGUACUUCAUUUUUAAUCAUUAGUAAAUUUAUUAUCAUUAUUUUUCAUAUAAAAUUCAUAACAAAAUACUUAUCAAUUCAUCAAAACUCAUUUUAAUUUAUACCUAUUAGCAUAUAAUAUUACCCAUACACGUAUUAAUUCAACAAACUCAUAAAUUAUUAUAAACCCUAACAUUUUUAAUAACUAAUUAUAAAGAAAUAAAACUAAGAUUAUAUAAUAAAACAAAUAGAAAAGUAACACAACUUUAUAUUAAUUUUGAUCACCUCCUUUUGUAUUAUAUUAUGUUUGAUUUAGCUGUUAAAUCUUUAUAAUUUAUUUAAUUUGGAUAUUGAUUUAUGUACUAUUAAUUUAUAUGAAUCACUUAAAAAUAUAAUACAGCUUUAUAUCAUGAAAUACUUGAAGUGAGAACGUGAGUGGCAAUUGAUGUUAAUUGGGAGGGGGAGGGGGCAAUUGCCCCCUCUUGCCCCAUUGUGGCUCCGCCACUGGCCCCAUUAUCUUUCAAGUAGUGGGUAGUUUUCCCCCAUGAUCUUAAUGGGUUGAGAGCAACCCCUGGUUAACCCCCAUCAUCCCAUGAUCUUGGAUAUCCAUAACUGCCACUAACUCACAUUCUGCAUGCCCACCUGGCAGCCCCAAUUGCUAGUUCUUGCUGUGUCAUUUGUUGAGUUUCUCACAUGCCUUGGACAGUCUUUCGUCCAAGUUUAAGAUCGUGCCAAGUCAAACCAACGACUUGCACAGGCUGUUGCGCGCUGCCGAAUUCGCAUUUGAGUGCAAGUUGUCAAUUUCUGCGCUGCCGAACUCGCAUCUGAGUGCAGGAUGCCACUGUCUAUGCUGUCGAAUUCCAUGAGAGCCCUAGUUCUAGCCAGCCUAUCUCCUUGACGAGUUUUCUUGCUUGGCCUAGACAUUCCAACAUCCAGUCCAUGUUCGUCAACAAUCUGCGCUACCCAAUUUUCCUUUGAUGAACCUACAACUGCACAAAUCUGCGCUGUCGAUUUAUCCCACUGUUAGCAUGGCUGCCAGCACCCUUAGACAUUGUUUUGGACAGCCUGCUGAAGUGUGCACCUCGUGCACAUUUAACAUUGUUACACUACCUCUUUUUAUUUUUUAAUGCUCGAGCCUGCGGUCCCAUUUUAAUUCUUUGCCAGGAUUAACGAAACUACAGAAAAAUUAAUAAAAAAAACUUUAAUAUAUUCUGAAAAGUCUUUGAAUUCAAUAAUAUAAUAAAAAAAAAUUAACACAUCAACUACUUAUAUAAAGGUAAAAAUAAACCUAACAAAAAAAAAAAAAAGCUAAGUAGAAAAAAAUAAUUGACAUAUGAAAUUAACUAGAAAAAAAUUAAAAUAAUAUCUUCUAGGUUUAAUUUGAAGAAUUUCUCAUUCUUGGUUGAUUACAUCUUGCUUCAAAUUCAUCAAAUUCUGGUUAUGGAUUGAUCUUCAAUGAGUCAGGCUACAUGUACAUAUUGAGAAGAAAUGGGCUGAUAGAGGAUCUCACAAAAACAGCAAUUCCUAGUGCGCGCAGACUUCUAUCAUAGGGCAACACUCAAUUUUGAUGGCGUUUUCACUCAAUAUUUUUACCCAAAAGCAUCUAGCGGUAACAGAAGCUGGUCCUCAGUCUGGUCCAAACCAGAUAAUAUAUGUGUCAAUAUGGGAGCGGGCUUGGGGCUUGGAGCUUGGAUAUAACAGCAUCUGCAAUCUAAAAGCUGAUAAAAGGCCAGAAUGUAAUUGUCCACAAGGUUUUUCUUUGCUUGAAUGACAGGUAUGGAAGCUGCAUACCAGAUUUCGAGCUAAGCUGCAGAGAUGAUGGACUCAAUUCCACCGAAGAUCAGUAUGAUUUUGUGGAGCUAAUAAAUGUUGAUUGGCCAACAUCUGAUUAUGAGAUGUACAAACCUAUUAACGAAGAUGAGUGCCGAAAGUCUUGCUUGGAUGAUUGUCUAUGUUCUGUUGCCGUUUAUAGAGAUGGCUGCUGGAAGAAGAAGUUACCACUCUCGAAUGGAAGAUUUAACAUUGGUAUGAAUGGGAAGGCUUUCCUUAAAUUUCCGAAAGGUUAUGUUCCUCCGGAUAGGCCUCCUCCUCAGCUUCCUGGAGAGAAAAAGAAACCAGACAUUAAGUUCAUCGCUGGAUCAGUAGUCCUUGGUACCUCUGUAUUUGUCAACUUUGUAUUGGUCGGUGCUUUCUGUCUCACUUCUUCCUUCAUUUAUCGCAAGAAAACUGAAAAAGUUCAGGAAGGUGGAAGUGGUUUGGAGACAAACUUGCGGUAUUUUACAUACAAAGAGCUCGCUGAAGCGACAAAUGACUUCAAAGAUGCGGUGGGAAGAGGAGGUUUUGGUGUUGUUUACAAGAGGACAAUAUAGGCAGGCUCUAAUAGAUAAAGUGGUUCAGGAUGGGGAAAAAGAAUUCAAAACAGAAGUACAAGUGAUUGGCCAGGCAGGCAGAAUCGAUUGUUGGUGUACGAGUUCUUGAGUAAUGGCACUCUAGCAAACUUCCUUUUCGGAUGCUCUAAGCCCAAUUGGAAGCAAAGGAUCCAGAUUGCCUUUGGCAUUGCAAGAGGACUCUUGUACCUGCAUGAAGAAUGUGGCACCCAAAUCAUUCACUGUGAUAUAAAGCCUCAGAACAUACUUCUUGACAAUUAUUACAAUGCUCGAAUAUCUGAUUUUGGACUGGCAAAGCUUUUGGUGUUGGAUCAAAGCAAAACUCAAACUGCUAUUAGAGGAACAAAAGGAUAUGUUGCACCUAGUUGAGAAUAAUUAGGAGGCUUAACCUAAUAGGUUAGCCAACCCUUUCUAUAUAUAUGAGUAGGGCAAUAUACAAUAGUAAAGGUGGAGAUUACCACAUAAGAAUAUGACUACAAUAUUUCCUAUAUAAUUACAUUCUAUAAUACGCCCCCUCAAGCUGAGGGUGGAGGAUCAACCCGAAGCUUGAAUCUCAAAGCAGUAAAUGAAGCAGUAGGAAGUGGCUUCGUGAAGGCAUCGGCAAGUUGAUCCUGAGAGGAAAUAAAACGAAUCUGAAUCUCCUUCUUCGCAACUCUAUCUUGGACAAAAUGAUAAUCAAUCUCAAUAUGUUUUUUGCGAGCAUGAAAUAUAGGGUUUGCGGACAAAUACGUGGCACCAAUGUUGUCACACCAGAUAAUAGGGGCAGAAGGAGUCGGAAUCUGAAGAUCCGUUAACAAGUACUGAAGCCAGAUAACUUCAGUCGUGCCAUCGGCUAAGGCUUUGUACUCAGCUUCCGUCGAAGAACGAGCAAUAGUGCGUUGCUUACUCGAUUUCCACGAAAUUGGCGUCUGACCAAAGAACACAAGAUAACCACCUGUAGACUUUCUAUCCUCAAUACUACCUGCCCAAUCUGCAUCUGUAAAACCGUGUAAAGCAAAGGAAGAGCUGUGAGUAAUAUCUAAACCAUGUGAUGCCGUACCACAGAGAUAACGCAAGAUGUGUUUCACGGCAGCCCAAUGGGAUUCUGUAGGAGCAUGCAUAAAUUGACAGACCCGGUUAACAGCAAAGCAAAUAUCCGGGCGUGUGAAAGUGAGAUAUUGGAGAGCCAAAACGAGUAGCAUCAGAAAACAAUGGAUCCGGCAUAAUGGUGGCUUUGGAUGCCGAAAUAGGAGUAUCAACUGGUUUACAGGAUAACAUACCAGCUCGUGUGAGGAUAUCAAGUGUAUAUUUAUGUUGACAAAGCAUAAGUCCCAGACCAGUACACUGCACUUCAAUACCCAAGAAAUAAUGAACAUCACCCAAAUCCCGAAGUUUAAAUUCUGAGCUCAGUAGCUGAAUGAGUCGUUGUAGCAGAGUUCCAUUAUUACCCGUAAGCAGAAUAUCAUCAACAUAAACCAAAAGAUAACAAAUAUCACUACCAACCGAGAAGAUAAACAAUGAGGUAUCCACUUUAGAAGCACGGAAACCAAUGGAUAAUAGAAAAUCAUUCAGACGAGUGUACCAAGCCCGCGGAGCCUGUUUUAACCCAUAUAGAGAUUUAUGCAAUCGACAUACAUGACCUGGGAGUGCAGAAUCAACAAAACCUGGAGGUUGUUUCAUGUAAACCUCUUCAUCAAGGACUCCAUUUAGAAAUGCAUUAUGAAUGUCAAGCUGAUGAAUUUUCCAACCACUCGAAACUGCAAUGGAGAACACUAAGCGGACUGUUGCCUGUUUGAUAACAGGACUAAAAGUUUCUGAGUAAUCAAUACCUUCUUGCUGAGUGAAGCCCCUAGCAACCAGGCGGCCUUAUACCUCUCAAUGCUACCAUCAGAUCUGCGUUUAAUUUUGUAGACCCAUCGGCUACCAACAACAUUCAUGGACGGAUGAAACGCACUAAAGUCCAUGUUCUGUUUGCGCGUAAGGCCUGAAUUUCCUCUCGCAUAGCAUUAUGCCACGCCUCAUAUCUGUUAGCAUCAGGAAAAAUAAGUGGCUCAUGCGAGGGAGGAGAAGUUACCCGACUGAAGGAAGCAGCAGAGGUGGUUGCCGUGGUGAUGAUCAGCGUUGUCUUGGGUUGUCUCGGACGAAGAACCAUGGGGUGUUUAGGAGCAGCUGGACAUGGAGUAGCAGCACCUGUACCUGGAAUGUGCUGAAGAGGAUAAGAGGAGAGAUCAACACAAAGUUGCAGACCAGGAGGUGAAGCCGGGGAGGUGUGGGUUGUGCCGCUACUGAAUCCUGCAAGUCAGAACCUGUUCCUGCACAAUAAUCAUUGGAAAGACAAGCACGUGGUGAUAGUAUGGUUGUGUGGGGUGGUGAGGCAGGGUCGGCUGAAUCAACGGGCAGGGGAGCAAGCUGGGGGGUUGCGGCAAGGGGCAAAGGUGGGUUGUGUUUUUGCCGAGUUGGGAAGGAAGAGGCUGAAAACAGGAAGGGGUUGCAGUGAUGGAAGAUAGGUAGGUGGAGUGGGGGAAGGGGGUGUUGUUACCUGUUCAGACUUUUUAAAAGGAAAGACACAUUCAUGAAAACGAACAUGACGGGAGACAUAGACACGACCAGACUCUAAAUCAAGACACCGAUAACCAAGAUGAGACGAGCUAUAGCCUAAAAACACACAAGGAGAAGACCGAAAAUCUAAUUUAUGAGCAUGAUAUGGACGUAAAAAUGGAAAACAAAGACACCCAAAAGUGCGUAGAAGUUAUAAUCAGGAGUGCGAUGAAACAGACACGCAAAAGGAGAUUUAUUUUGAAGAACAUGAGUAGGCAUGCGAUUAAUAAGAUACCGAUGAUUCCAUAGCAUAGUUCCAAAAACGCAAUGGGGCAUUACACUGGCCUAAAGGGUUAGGCCAGUUUCGACAAUAUGUCUAUGACGACGUUCAACUGUGCCAUUUUGUUCAUGAGUAUGAGGACAAAUUAAUCGAUGAUGAAUACCAAUUGUUUGAAAAAAUGUAUUUAAUUUGAUAUUCACCACCCCAAUCAGUUUGAACAGAUUUAAUUUUAAGAGAAAACUGACGCUCAACAAGUGUCUGAAAACGUUGAAACGUGGAAAAUACAUCAGAUUUCGCAACAAGCGGAUAAUACCAGAUAUAUUUAGUGUGCGCAUCAACAAAGAUAACAAAAUAACGAAAACCAUCAGAAGAAAACAUUGGAGCAGGGCCCCAAACAUCACUAAAAAUUAAUUCAAGUGGGGUAGAAGUUUUGUGACCCGUCGGUCGUAAUGACAAACGGGAUGACUUGCCUAAUGGACAUGCUUGACAUUGAGUAAAAGAUCGUUUAGACGUACAAAUAAUUUUAUUAUCAGAAACUAACAAAUUUAGAAUGCGAGGAGUUGGAUGACCUAAACGACGAUGCCACAAGUCGGCAGUCGCGGAAAUGCAAGGAGACCAAAAAGCUUGAGGAACUGACGUAGCCGAGGACUCGGAGAGAACAUAAAGACCAUCAUGACUCCGACCGGAAAGAAGAACUUCCUUGGUGACGAGAUCCUUCACAUAAAACACAGAAUCGUGAAAUUCAAAAUAAACAUGAUUAUCACGACAGAAUUUCUGAACAGAUAACAACGGUUUGGUAAUGUGAGGCACACGAAGAACAUUAGUUAAUGUAAACAAGCGUUUGGGGGAAUAUAAAGUAGUAUGUCCAACAUGGGAUAUGUCAAGGGCCUUACCAUCACCAACAUGCAAGAAAUCAUUACCAAGAUAAGGAGCAGAAUCAGUUAGAGUUGCAAGAUCAGGCGUCACAUGUUGAUUCGCGCCGGUGUCGGGAAACCAAGUCGUUGCAGCAGAAUCAUUCGCAACAGCAAGGUGAGCAGAGGGCUGCUGUGUGCUGCUGCGAAACUGAUAGCAUUGAAGAGCUGAAUGGCCAGGAGUGGAACAUAAUUGGCAGCGGACAUGUCCAGACCACUGCCCCUGAUUUGGCCGAAAUCUGCAGCAGAGGUGCGCCUGUUCUGCCACUGAUUUUGCCUCCAAUCUGCAGCGGAGUGACCUCUGUUUGGGGCCUGAAAUCGGUUGGUGUUUGAGCGCCAAUUACCUCUAGAACGUCCCCUGUUUCGGCUGUGAUUAGUCAUGGCAUAAUAAGCAGAAUUCGGAGGUGUUGGCAGCAAUGGUGGCUGCUGCGGCAGAGAAGAAGAAGACAGCAGUGAUGAAGAGGAUGAACCGACAGCCAUGGAGUGAAAGGAAUUCUUGUGCAGAAACUCAUGGGUAAGGAGAUGGCUAUGAAGAUCAGCAUACGAUAGCGGUUCAGCCUUGGUUAUGAGACUAGUUACCAAGUCUUUGAACUCACCGCGAAGUCCACGAAACACAUAGAGAUUGAAAUCUUCAAGGGACAUUGGGCGACCAGCAGCAGCCAAUUCGUCAAAUAACGAUUUGGCUUGCUGCAUAUACAUACUAACCGAUGCAUCACCUUGCCGAAGGUCUUGAAAGGAGCCAUGUAGUUGCAUGAUCCGGGAAUUAGAUGGAGAGGCAAGUGCCUUCUCAAGCGUGCGCCAAACACAAUGUGAAGUAGAACAAUCUACAAGAUGCAGCACAUCCACGGAAAGAGAGGAGAGUAGAGCACUCAAAAUAAGUUGAUCUUGUUGCUUCCAACGAAGAAAAGAGGGGCUGAUGGCAGAAGAAGAAUCAGCCGAAGCAUCAAUCAUAUGAGAUGGAGGACACGGCAAGGAGCCGUCAACAAAGUGAAAAACACCUUGACCAAGGAGAUAUGGCUUCAUCUGCAUUCUCCAAUAAAGAUAAUUUGUGUUCGUAAGUUUCAACGACACAACAUGGUGGGUGUUUGAUAGAGGAACCAUUGUUGUAGAUUGUGUUCCCAUGAGAGGCAAAGGAACGGCAGAGCCAGCAGCAGAAAGGGGGCUGGCCGGUGAUGAUGCAGCACCGGUGGAGGGAGAGAUUGGAUCAACGGCAGCAGGAGGAGAGUCCAUGGGGGAGAAAAUUAGGGCCGACUGCAAAGAGAGAAAAAAUUAGGAGGCUCUGAUACCAAGUUGAGAAUAAUUAGGAGGCUUAACCUAAUAGGUUAGCCAACCCUUUCUAUAUAUAUGAGUAGGGCAAUAUACAAUAGUAAAGGUGGAGAUUACCACAUAAGAAUAUGACUACAAUAUUUCCUAUAUAAUUACAUUCUAUAAUACACCUGAAUGGUUCAGGAACAGACCAAUCACUGUGAAGGUUGAUGUGUAUAGCUUCGGUGUCAUGCUGAUAGAGAUCAUCUGUUGUAGAAGAAAUGUAGAUUUGGAGUCGGUGAAGCAGAGAAUCCAGUACUGAUUGAUUAGGCUUAUGACUGCUACAUGAAUGGAAGUUUGGAUGUUUUAAUUGGAGAUGACAUGGAGGCCAAGAAUGACAUAUCGACACUAGAGCGUCUCUUGAAGGUCGGGAUUUGGUGUAUUCAAGAGGAUCCAUCUCUCAGACCCACCAUGAGGAAAGUCACACAGAUGCUUGAAGGAGUUGUUGAAGUUCCUGCUGCUCCAAAUCCAUUUCCAUAUAGUACAAUUAGCAAUUACAGUCAGGAAUGAUCUUUAUUUCACCUAGAUAUGAUUUUUCUACAGUUUCUUCUACCAUGAAAUGUAGCUUUAUAAGAGAAAAGAGGAAAAGAUAAGGAAAAUAUAAGAGAAUUGGAUGAAAUAAGUUUAAAGGUAAGAUUAUGUAUAAAUAUGUGUUAUUUAAGCUUUAAAUUUCUGUUUUGGUUAAAUGUUAGGGUUUUGAAGAUUGUGUUUUAAGUUUAUUGAAGAAUUAAUUUGAAUGUUAUUAAUUUAAUUGUUGUGGGUAAUGGAUUGGUAGUUGAUUUUGAGAGAUUGUAGGUAAAUAUGAUAAUUUUGAGUUAUGAUUUUAUUUAAAUGGUGAAUUUGUGUUAGAAAUCAUGAGAUAACAGUAGGUAAUCUGUGGAAAUUCUAGGUUUGAGGUUGAAGAUGAAAAAAUUUUGGUUUGGUCCCUCAAUUUGUGAAAAUUACAGUUUAGUCCCCAAACUUUGGAAAUUUUCAAAUCGGUCCUUGGAGCAUAUUCCGAGAUUCUGAACAGAAUAAAAUAUGAAUUUGGACAGAAUUCCAGUAGAGUUAUGAAUUUUAAACACUUUCAAUUUGGUCCUCCAAUUUGACAAAAAUUACCAUUUGACCCUAAAAAUUUGGUUAAAUUCCAGAAUGGUCCAUAGAGUAUAAUGAGAUAUUCUGGACAUAAUUGAGGAUUAAUUAUGGUCAGAAUUUCAGUAUAGUCAUGGAUUUAUGACAAAUUUAGUUUGGUCCUCCAUUUGAUAAAAAUUAUAAUUUAGCCUUAAAAAUGUGAUAAAUCCCAUAUUGGUCCCUAACUGUAUUAUUAGCCUUUUCAGAUUGGUUUGAUGAAUAAACGAGGGCUAUUUAGUGAAUUAUUAUCAAGUCUUAUUAUUUGUUUUAUUAUGGAUUAGAUUUCGGGAAAACCGUUAAUUUUUGGGUUUUUAGGAAAAUAUCUAAUUUAGUCUAAAAACAUAUAGAGUUAUGGAAUAUACCCUUAGAUAAGUGUAUUAAAUAGGUUGUAUUUUCUUUUGAGUCAUUCUUGAAUAUGUCUUCUUUGUAUUUAGAUAAUCCUGAUAUUCUUCCAGCGGAACGUCUAGGAUUUCCUUUGGUAUUGAGUUAUGUUUGUUUUCGAGUCAGGUGAGUGAAUAAUUUUUCAUAUGCAUGAGAAAUAUUAUAAAUAUUUGAUUUGUUAAUAUGAAUUGGAUCAUGCUUCUUGAUAAUAUAUAUGUUGAUUAUUAUCCUUGUAAUGAUAAAGCAUGAUCAAUUAUUGAAUCUGAAUUCUUGAUAUGAACCAGUAUAUAUUUUAAAUUGACUUUUUAAUUGAUAGCUCCACAUUUGAUUGAUGUUAUGAGUUGAGCCUUGAGAUAUGAAUAUGUCUGUUUGAUUAUGAUUAUGAACCUAUGGUAUGUCAGUCAGAAUACCUAUGCUGACAGGGUAAUGUUAAUCUUUGUGCACAUCGUAUAUGAACCCUAGUUGGUCGGGAGAGUCACCAACUUGUGUGAACUGAUCAUCCGAUAAUACGGAGCCUUAUGCUCAUUUUAUUUUGAUUUUCUGACGAGCUUUACCUUAUGAUAUUCUUGUUAUGGUCUAUUUGAUAAACCUUUCUAUAAGAACCUAGAGCCAUACUUGUGUGUGUGUGUGUGUGUGUGUGUGUAUUUCUCAUUGUUGUAGUACCUCGUGUGUGUAUAUGUAACGUUAUUUACUCACUGAGUUGUUGAAAUCACCUUCUUAUUAUUUAUCUUUUUCAGGUUUGAUAAACCUUUCUAUAAGAACCUGCUAUUUUGGUUGUAAUUUGUACAUUUUCCAUUUAUGUCUAGUUAGUGCUCCAAAGCUAUGAAAUUAUAUUAACUCUUGUAUUAAGACAAUGAAAUUACAUUAUGAAGUUAUUUUGUUGUUAAUGCUGCGUUGAACUCUGAUUGAAUUGUUUAAGGGAUAAGAUUGUAUGUAAGUUUGGGUUCACAUAAGUAUAGAACCUUGAAGGGGAACCUUGCCUAUAUACCGGUCAUGGAUCCAGGAAACUGAUUGUGACACAAGUCUUGGUCAAGAGAUGUUUGGCUUCUUUGGGGGCAUUUUUUGUUUCCAGGAAACGGUUAGUGAUAGACAUGUAAGAACCUGUACUUCUUGCCAUACGAAGUUGGACAAAGCUUUUUACAGUAAAAAGUGAAACAUCAAACACCAUUCCAUUACAUAAUGGUUGUUUCCGUUAUCCCUUUGCAUAAUUAAGAAAGUAACAACAAGCAACUUGGUCCCUUGAAUUUCAUGUUGAAUGGUUAGUAUACGGUUGUAAGUGAAGCAUGUUGUAGCUAUAGAUAUUCUCAUGAAUCUAUUGGAUGGGGGGUUCUAUCAGGAUAGGAACAAUUGAUAAAUAUACAAUGCACUAUACUUUGUAGAAUCCAUCAUCAUUCUUCUAUACCAGCAUUUGUCUUAAUAGAAAAUGGAUCUAGAACUCCAUGACUCAGACGCCCACUGUAAGACCCAAACUUUUGGCCCAAACCUAAGCCCAAGUCAACCCAAACCCAACCUAAGUUAACCUAGGUAUUUAAGGAAGAGUUGCAAGAGAAUUACUUUUCUCUCUUCCAAUUCUUGUAGCCACCGUGACCCUCCCCUCCUCAAACCAAAGAGUUUAGUUUUUGAUUCAAGAAAGGUGGAAGUAGCAAGUAAGUGGUUCCCUUUCAUAUUACUUUUGAUUAUAGUUUGCUUAUGGAAUGAUUAAAGAAGAGAUUAGGGUUUAUAAGGAUUGAAAGUUUAUGUUGUUAAGAUUGAUUUAUGAUUAUAAAGGGUUUAAUGUUAGGUGAUUGAUUAUUAUGUUGUUAGAAAUAAGGAUUUGUGAAUUGAUUUGUUUAAAUUGAUUUUUAUGGGUUAAGAAAUUCAUUUUAACCUUGCUGGAAAAUCCGGACAGAAUAGCUUUGAUGUUGAAGAUGACCAAAUUUUAUUUUGGUCCUUGAUUUAUGAAAAAUUCAGUUUAGUCCCUAAACUUUAGAAAAAUUAUGAUUUGACCCCUAAAUGUAUUUUUAGAUUCUGUACAAUGUUAUUAUGACGUUAAGGAUGAUGAAUCUCAGUUUGAUAAUUCAUUUGGAAUAUUUUUAGUUUGGUCCCUCAAUUUUAGGAAUUUACAUUUUAGUCCCUGAACUUUAUGAAAAUGACAAUUCGGUCCCUGUUUCGUUCUAUACAUAAUUUAGGAUGGUUUAUGGGUGCAAAUUUAGUAUGGUUAUGUAUUUACAGUUUGGUCCUCCAAUUUUGGUAAAAUUACGUUUUGGUCCCUGUUUUGGAAAAUUGUCAUUUUAGUCCAUAAACUUAGGAGACUAAACCUGGUUUUAUUUUAUGCAUUGGGAUCUUUUGUUUGAUUUGUUUUUUAGUAUAUUUCAUAUAUUGUUGUAGGUUCUCCUAACGAUCCUCAAUAGGAUUUUCGGGUUUUUUAUUUGACAUUCCUUUUAGUUCUAUAUUUUCCAGGUGAGUGGGAUAAUAUUUAAUAUGCAUAUAAUAUAAAUAAAUAUGUAUGUAGAUUAUACGAUGAGUACAACUAGUUAAUUUCUUGAAUAUUUAUAAAUAUUGCUUUAUUUUCCGAGUACUCAUUUAUUCUUGAAUUUGCACUCGUAAUAUGUCGAACUAAAUUCUAUUUGAUAUGAUAUACGUUUCUUUGAUGAUUCUGUAAAUAUCUAUUAUGGCUUGAUAUAGGACUUGUCAGUAACUCCAUGUUAACGGAGAGUAGUUAGCCUAUGUGCACAUAGUAUUCUGUAUACCUAGCUGGUGAGAGAGGCAUCAGCCUAUGGCGACUGAUCAUCCCACAGUGGUCACCUUCGGGUGUCAUCUGGUCACCUUCGGGUGUCAUCUGAUCUCUGACAUGUAUUCCACUACUUUAUGAUAAUAUGUUUAGUAUGUAUAUGUAUAUGUAUAUCAAGAUAAAUAAUCUUGCAAACUAUUAAUAUCUAAAAUAUCUAAAAUGUAUAUUAAAUGUUAUUCCCUCACUGAGUUAAUUGAACUCACCCCUCAUUCUUAAUAUUAUUUCAGGUUCUUAGUUUCUGAUAGCAUUUGGACUUUGUUAAGUGUUUCCACUUCUUCAAUUUUUGUUCGGUAUGCCUUGCUUGUUUUGCGAGGCUUUCCUUUUAGUUUUGAUUCAAUGUCUUAGACGCUCCACUAUUACCUUGUUUUAAUUAAGUUUGGAUUUUGACAAUGUAAUGAGUAUUAUGGAUUAUUGUUUUUGUUUUAAUUACUAAUAAGGAGUUUUAAACUAUCUUUUGGUUUUAUCAGUUUUGAAUAAUAUAAUAUUUCUGAAGAUUAUAAAAUGCUGUGUAUUUUUGAAUAAAUUGUUCUUCUGAUAUAUCUGUUCUGAGGCUUAGCGUAGGUAAGGUGUCCUUUCGACACCGCUCCUAUGUUGCCGGUUAUGGACCCGGAAUUCGGGUCGUGACACCCACUUUGUAGGGACCACAAGGAUUCCAUUUAUGUAUGGUUGAAAGUCUUGCCAUGGUAUGCCAUAAGUAUUGUCGAAGCCUGUAAUGCUGAAUUGAUCAGAUCGGGAAAAUACCAUUGUCCAGAAAAGGGCCAGGAAAACUUGUGUUUGGCUUCAGGCUCCAUCCUUCUCUCUCCCAUUGGUUAUUUAACGACGGAGUUUUCACCAAAAGUCUUGGUCAAGAGAUGCUUUGUUUGUUUUGGGGCUUUCUUCUCCAGGAAAUGCUUAGUGAUUGACCUGUAAAAACCUGUGCUCUCUUCCAUGCGAAGUUGGAUAAAGCUUUUUACAUUAGCUAUAGAUAUUUGAUGUAGAGGGGGAAAUGUAGGACUAGAUAUUCUCAUGAAUCUAUUGGAUGGGCGGUUCUAUCAGGAUAGGCACAGCUGAUAGCUACGUAAUGCACUAUAAACUGUAAAACCCAUCAUCAUCACUUGUAUCAAUUAUUUGGCACUAAAAUGUUAAGUUUUCACUGUCACAGGCAUUAGAAAUUUUAGUCUUCUCAUUUUCUAUCAUAUCCAACGUAAAAUCAUUUUCCAAUUCAGAAAUGACGAUGCAUAAGUUGUAAUUAAUUUUCAUUUCUCUCCUUCGUUGUCACUCCAUAUGACUAAUGAUAUUUUCACAAAAUGAACCUCAACCUGGGUUAAAUUCCGGGAAAGAUUUUCCAAGACGGUACAUAGUUGGUAUAUCUGGUAACCAUUUGAUAAAAAUCUUCUAUAUCAGCAUUUGUCUUGAUUCAAAAUAGACAGAGAAAUCCGCGACUCAGAGCCAACUCUUGAGAGACUAUAAGGAUUAUAACCAAGUAUAUUGACAGGUAACUUCUACCAUUUAUGUAGGGUUGAAAGUCUUGCUAUGGUAUACCAUGAGCAUACUCUAGUCUGUAAUUCAUGAAAAUUCAGAGAAAAUACCAUUGCCAAGAAAAGGCCCAAGAAAACUUGUGUUUGGCUUCAGGCUCCACCCUUCUCUUUCCCAUAGGUUAUUUAAUGACCGUGCCUUGAACUUCGUUUGCCUCAUAGUUUGGAGUCAUCAUGUCUUGCAAUGGCCUUUCCUAUUCUUCAUCUUUCGUUUUCCUUGCUCAUUAUGCUACCUCCUUUUGCUGUUUCUCAAACUGGUGGUAAUAUAACUGUGGGUGCUUCUCUUUCCACUGCUGAAAACACCUCAUGGCUUUCACCUUCCGGUGACUUUGUCUUUGGCUUUUAUCAACUGUAUGGCAACAAAGAUCUCUUCUUGCUUGCCAUAUGGUACGAUAAAAUACCAGACAAAACCAUAGUCUGGUAUGCAAAUGGAGAUAAACCUGCACCAACAGGGUCCAAGGCAGUGCUGACUGCCAAUCGCGGGAUUUCACUUACUGACCCUCAAGGCAGAGACUUGUGGAGAUCCGAGACAAUAAUUGGUGUUGUUGCCUACGGUGCCAUGACUGACACAGGCAACUUCGUGCUUCGAGAUCGUGUUUCUGAUAAGCUGUGGGAGUGUUUCAAGAAUCCUGCUGACACUUUACUGCCUUCACAGGUCUUGGACAGGGGGAUGACCCUUUCUUCUCGCCAAUCAGAAACAAACUUUUCUAAGGGAAGGUUCCAGCUUAAACUUAGAGAUGACGGGAAUCUUGUGCUAGCAACAAUAAACCUGCCUAGUGAUUAUACUAAUGAACCUUAUUAUAAAAGUGGUACCGAUGGUGGGUCGAAUUCAUCGAGUCCUGGCUAUCAAGUGGUCUUUAAUGAGUCAGGAUACCUGUAUAUAUUGAGG